GUGGUGCAUGCAAAGCUCUGUGCACCCAUAUCCUGUCUCAUUACCCAGCCCAGAACUAGGUGGGCAUAGCUCUGGACUCAGUGUGAGGCUCAGUGAUUUCUGCUGCUCUCCACCAUAUUCUCCUCCGCAUCUCUUCAUAUAACUCUACCUUGGUUCUAUGUCUCCUUCAUUCACUCAUCCGCAUUCUCUUUGUGAACCUUACUCCAGUAUCUGCCCCAGUGCCUGGUCUCUAACAGAAACCCUCAACAUGGCUGUUCAGUGAAUGGACAAUCGGGAGCAAUCAUCAAGUGGCUGUUACCUCCUGUGUCUUCCUGAUAAGAGCUCUGCCACAGCCUCUUGCUUCUCUGACUAAGAGCCCGCAAGGACAGCCCAAUUGGGGAGUCCUCAGAAAUAGCACCCCCCAGGCAUAUGAAUUCCUAGUUCCAAAUAAAAUCAAGCAGAGGACCCAGAAAACUUCCAAGAAAUGAGCUCUAUUCCUCCCCCAACUGGAAAAGUUACACAAAAGAAUAGGUUGGGCUAGCCAUUAAACCUACCACCCCAAAUUGAUGUCAAAUACUUUGUGAAAAUAAAUAGAUGGAGAAAGAGAUUAAGUGAUCUUGAAAGUUGUAUAUGUGGAUUUAUUUGUGUAUUCAAUAUAUAUGUAUGCGUUCAUAUAUAUAUAUGUGUGUGUACCUAUAUAUAUAUAAAGAAGGAUUUAUUAAUUUCUGGGGUUAUUAAAUAAUCUAUAAACUAAGUGUCUCUAGAUUCUCUUAUUUACUUAUUAUAAAAAUAUAGUCAUAUAUUUACUAUUAUCUAUUACUGAUGAUAGAUAGAUGAUGGAUAUAUAGUUAUAGAUAGGUGGAUUAUUGGAUAAAUAAAUGGAUAAAAUAAGUCCCAAGCUUAUUUUGCUCACAGUUUUUAAAUAUGGUUAUUUUGCUUACAGUUUUAUGUAUGGUAGUUGAGCUCUUUUAUGAGAAUGAGAAUGUAUAGAAACAAUCUGUAUUCUUGCUCAUUCUUCAUUCUUAGGGUCGGUGGAACUACAAGAGCCAUAAAUGAUCACCACUUAACCAAAACAGAGAGUGAUCUCUGACUUGGUGGUGGAACAAGAAUAUUGAUGUGAUAUUUUGCUCCUAAGAAGAUAAGAGUUGCCAGAGAGCCUGUCAGCAACGUGGGUCAAAGCUCAGUGUCUCCAGCACACAACACAGACUACACAGUGCACAGUACAAUUCAGGAGAGUAGCUGACCGGCAGUACAUGCACUUCCACGGAUCUCCAAGCUAGGUACCAUUCACUGUACCAUAUGCUGGUGUCUUUAAGUAACCCAUUACACAGAAAUUAAAUAUCUUGUGACAGAUUGUUUUGACAGUGAGGAGAAAAAAAGAAAGCAGGACAGAGUGGGAGCGAUUUAAUUUUUUUUUUUAAUGCAUUUGACUGAAGGCAAAACGUUAGGUAGAUGUUAAUUUAACAGAUGUCUAGUUUUGCAUCAUCAGCCUGAAACGGGCCAUUGCUGGCAAGCCUUCCCACCACAUCGCAACACAAAAUCCUCUCCAAUCCACAGGGAUCUGCCUUUCACAACCUUCCAAGUGAGCCAUUUUUAUUCAAAGGAAAAUGCCUGAAAUUACCCAGGGAAGAUGCUAACACCUGGCAAUAGUUUUGAAGGCGGAGUCCAUGAAUGCACGGAGGUAUAAUGGAAGGAAAGAGAGCUCACAGCAACUUUUCAGCUGAGAGAGAACACAGAAGGAAAUGUAUUCACAACAAGAAAACAGCUAACACAUCACAAAGUUACUGUGUGAUGAAACACACCCCCACGCUCACUGGUGGAGGCUUCUGGGCUGUACAUAGAGCAUCUGUGUCCAUCAAAUCUAAACUUUAAUCUGCCUGAGAAAGGUAAAUCAAGGCCCAUUUUUUUUCCAGGUACCUUCUCUUCUGUAAGGUCCCAUGCAGCCAUAUCAGGUUGCAUCAGCCUAAUACUUCAAGGGUUAUGCUAAUAUUUGAUUUAUUUAUAACUGGAGAACAGCCAAAUGGGUAACAGUACACUCCUGUCAAAAUGUUAGGUUUGGUUAAUUAAACAUAAUUAAUUUGGAUUUUUAUACACAUAUUCGCAAUUUUUUGGACCCCAAAAUUUUUUUACAGACCCAACCAUGGCUCUGUAUUUUUUAGAAUGAAGGCACUCACAUGAGUCUUGUGUGGUUUCGGUGUGUGGGAACCUAGGAAAGGGAGAGCCCUUCACACAAAACAAAGGAUAACAGAUUUGGGGGCAGUGACAUGGCAUCCUCAGCCUUUUCAAGUCAAGGAGGUGUUGCUAUUCACCCACUGGUAGGUUCGGUGGGAGGGUCCAAACGUCACUCUCCUGUGAUUGGCUGAGUGGAAAUAGCAUCACAGCAUGGUCCUCAGCCCAGCUCUCAUUGCAUCAGACAUUUCUAGAAAAUAAAGAGGUAUAAUAGCAGGGGGUGUGGGGUUUGACAGCAGACUUCUACUCUGAAUGGUUAAUGACCUAUUCUUCAGAUCAAAGGCUUCUAUGUAGUUCUGUAGGAUUAUUAAUUAGCACUACUUAUUUUCAUGCACAGCUCAUAUAAUAAAGCAUUUUAUUCUCAGUAAACCCAAACUUUCAUUGUUCCUCCUGUGCAACACCCCAGCUUUCCAACAACUACAAAAUGCAUGAGCUGCUUCUGGUUGUGUAUGAGUGUGUAGUCAUUUGAUUCAGCAAUUUUUAUUUUUAGAUAUUUAAAGUAAAUGGCCUAUAUCUUGUUUUCUGACAGAAUUUGGCAAAAGGCCAUCUUUAAGGGCUGAGAGAGAUUAAUGAUAUUAUGGCAACCUUUAGAGAAUAAAGCAAAAUUGGUCUAGUCUCCAAGCAAUUCAACAUAAGGAUAGUGCAUGUGUGUGCGUGUUCCUGUGUGUGCGCACACACACCUGCAUGUGCCUCUGUGACAUGUAAUAAAUACCGAGUUGCAGAACACCGUCCCCAGGUGAUAACCGUUUUACUUUACAAACAUCUCAACCAACCAUGGGGAAUGUAGAAAUUAGCCUUGUGAAUUCAAAGAUGCAAAGAUGCUUAUUAGAGAACAAAAUUCAAAAGGGAGGCAGACAGUUUACACACUCCUUCUCAUGAGAGCAAUACCAAGUCAAGGACAUGAUCUGAAAUUGAAAAAAUUGGUAGGGAAAAAUUUUAAGCUACUGUGGGACUACAAAAAGAAUAAAAAAAUUCUGUCAACACAAAAGACCCCUUUCUCCCUCUCUGAAAUUCUAAUCCAGUAAUCAUGUCUGCCUUCUGAAGCAUCUUUCAUCUGCCUAUCUCAAAGUCCUUUAUGGUAUUAAACACUCACUGAAUCCCUGAGGUGGGUAAAAUUAUUCUAGUCAUUUUACAAAUGUAUCUAGUCUUUCAACCCUCUUAUUCCAAGCAGUGAUAAGUCUGGGAAUAAAAAUAUCGAGAAUCGAUGAAUGACCACAGUCCUUAUUCCUUUAACCUGCAUUGUAAUUACUUAGGAGAACAGGCCUUGAUUCGCUCUGGGAAAGUGCUGAGAUGAAUUGAAUGUAAGGUUUUGAUUUGUUGUAAAUGAUCUUAAUAUAUGCCAACAUGGUUUUGUUCCUAUCCUUCCUAACUUGUCCCUUUGUCACUUAAAUUGGAAGGAUUGAAGAAUAUGUUGGAAGUAUAAUAAUAAUAAUAAUAAUAAUAAUAAUAAUGAAAACCAGGAAUAAUUCAAAGGCAAAGGAAAAAUGAGUCUUGGAGCUUAUUUUCACAUCUUCACAUCUUAGAGAAAAGUAGACACUACACUGUUAUCCUCGUGACCUUGAUGAAGACCUAAGGCCUUUAUGAUAUAGUUAAAGACAAGGUUAAAUUAUGUAAACACCAAAGUUCUGCUGUGUAGUAUAUGAAUCCAAAUUUAGAGCCAAACUAGUUUUAUGUUUUGGCAUGAAUCUGAUUUAUGAUCUAAAAGGAAAAGAAUUAAGAUAAAUAUUUCAAAAUAUUUCUGAAAACUAAAGUGUACUGAGAAGCAUUGAUGAAGCCAGACAGCUUUUUAUUCCCUUGAAGAGAAAACACCCUGCUCAUCUUCCAGUGCCAGAGAGAUGAUGAUUUAACAACAACAGCAACACAAACUGUUAGGAUGCUUAAUCUUGAACUUGACUGGCUUGAGAAUCACCUAAGAGAUGGCUGAAGCAGCGCUGUGUCUCUAAGAGUGUUUUCAGGCUGGAUCAUCUGGAGGAAAAGGGAGCUAUCCUGAAUGUGGGCAGCAUCCUUUGAAGACUAAGCAAGGAGGAGACCUGCUGAGCCAUGCAUAAGCCCUGCUUCCUAACACUUCCCACCUACUAAGAAGUGAGGGAUCUCUCUGCCACAUGGUUCUGCCUCCACCAUUUUCUGCAUUCAAGCACACAGAGCCUACCCAGAAGCAACUUUGAAACAAAGAACCAAAAGAAAUAUUUUCUUCCUUAUAUUCUUUCUUAAUCCAACAGAGGCGAUAAAUGCAGCUAAUAUAGGGACAGCCUUCAAGGUUAAGUUCCAGUAAAAUGACCCGGGCUCUGAACAUCUUGUUAGUUAUGGUUGCAUCAGAUGUGAACACUGUAGCAAGGGAAGAUGUAGAACGUUUAUAUUCACAUUAUCCAGGAGGCGAGGCCAGUAUGAUGAGAGAGCUGCUCUUUAUGGGGAAGGGGGAGAGAAAUAUGACCUCAAUGAGCCUAAGCUGUAUAAUCAAUCGCACACUGGAGUUGACAGAGAAGUUAGCACAGUCAUUGAAUGUGAAAAUCUCUGCUUUCAAGAGAUGGGAUGCUAGGUUGUCAUUAUUCCUACCUUAAAGAGCGCCUCCUCUCUGUUUUAAUGUCAUUCCUGCCAAUGUCUCUCCAUAGGACAUCUAAAUCAUUACACUAGGAAAUGCAGGCACCCAUUCACGACCAAUCCUACCUGUAUUUUUUUUUCCUGAGGAUUACAUCUCAAAGAAUAUUUACCUCCUGUGCAACCUUCUGUCAUUUCUGUGUUCCAUUCAGCAGUUAGCAAAGGCUUACCAUUAGUCAUCAGAGGGGAAAUCUGAGUUAACCACAGCUCCGACUCCAGUUCUCCAGAAAGUUACCUUUCAAGUCAGAGACCGAGGCUCUGACAACAAGUUCAUGGUCUAGGGCUCUUAGGUAUAUUGUGUCAUUUGUGGCAGACACUUCUAAGAAGUGAUGACUCACAAGGUGCAGAAAUAUUUUAAAAGUCAGAUAUGUAGUUCUGGUAGCUAACACACAAAAAAAGGAUGUUAGAUGUCUAACCCGACAGCACAUGAUAGGAGUCGCUUGUUUUUCGGGUGUUCCCUUCUGGGUAUCCCAGCAUGGCAAGUAUGUAAAGACUGGAGGAAAAAUAAUGGUUCAAAUCCAUUUUUGCCAAGUUCUAGCCCAUUAACUUCGAUGUUUAAGUUUCUUUGAGUCUCGUGUUGCCACCUAUAACUUGCAGCUGUGUAUUUCCUAACAAAUGAGAGUGUUCUGAACAAUGAAUACAUUGAUUUCUAUGUAACAAGCACCACAAACCUUCUUCUAUUCUGGCCAUUAGUCUACAUGGUGAUUACAGUCCUCUCCUUUAUGGCAGUCUAUAUUUUUUCUUAACAGUGUUAUUUCUAUCAGGGGUAUAGAUAGCUUGUCAAACCUUCUGCACAUGGGGAUAAUUUACUCGUGGAGUAUAGAAGCUAUCCCUGACCAGAAGUCUCGGCAGUAGAUAGAACUGGGAUAUGUAUGCCCAAAUCUGGGAGAACAAAUGCAGUGUGAGUACAGAGUACUUUAAUAUGGCCUAGUAAAGGCUCACAAACUUAGGAUGUGCCCAUGAAAUCAGAAAAACAUAAAUACUAUGUGAAAGCACAAAUCAGAUUUUAGUGUAAAUGGCUUCUGUUGAUGUCUUUUUAUUAUAUCUGAUGGGCAAUGCACCAUCAAGAAAUCAUAAGUUCUUGAAGGUGUAGAAAUUAACUAUGUUGGUUUUCUUCAUCUGGAAAUGCUAACAACUAAAUUCUUCUGAGAAGGUUUCUCUAGUGGGACUGCUCUCCUCCAUAUCUGACUUUCACACACACACACACACAGGUGCUUUGGUAUUUUACUUUAAAGAGACUGGCUGGUCUUUGCUCAUAACUCUAUGGUUUUAAGGUGGCCAUUUAAAAAGAUAAUCAAACCCCCAGACUGCUUGAAUUCAAUCUUGGAAACAAAAUACAUGCCAGUAUGUGUUACGCAUUAAACUACAGAAAUUGUGGUUGGCCUGUCAAAAAUAAUGUCAUGUUUGCUUUAGGAUGGCCUAUGGAGUGGCAUCAUGAUGGGUUUACUGUGGACAUUUACUAAGCUCAAUGAGAGUCAGAGCACCUAGCUUCCUUCACCUUUAGUGCAGCACAGCAAUAAUAGCCAGCUUAGCCGCAGAAAUCAAUUAGUAGCAUUUAGAGAAUAUUUGCAGUAACUUUCAAAGGGGCGCUGAAUAAUUGCUAUAUCAUAUUAUGGAAAGCGGGCUAGGUGUUUAGGGGCUAGUCUAUUAAGAAAACUCAACGUUUGUAAAAUACCCUGCAAUAGGAAGCAUGGAGUUAUUCGAAGACAUGUUAAUUUUAUCCCCCAACUCCAAACACAUCCCUUCACAGGACAUUUUACUGCUUGCAAUUGUAUCUUAUAUGGCUGUAUCUGUUUUCAUUUAAACAUUUUAUGUCUCCCUAUAGGACAUCAGCUGUAUGUGGGCAGGGGUUUGCUUUACUACUGUUGGCGCCCAGUGGCUGUCUUCCCACAGGCACACAGUACACAUUUGAUGAAAGCAUGAAUGAAAGACGAAUAGAUGAAUGAAGACACAGCAUAGUUAUAUAUAAACUACACGCAGACGAGCCUGAAUGUUUUAAAAGCCAAAGCCUCAUGACACAAGAGAUAUAAUAGAAUAAAAGUGCCCAUGAUGAGUUCCAGAGCAGAUGAUGUAAAAUCAACCCUCUCCGCAAUUGAACCUAUACACACCCCACUGUAGCUAUCAAUAUUUCCAUGCUAUAAUAUGAUAUUUUAAAUGUACCCCUGGUAUUAUUAUGCUAAAUAGCACCAUUGAUUUCUUUGCAGUUUAAUAGGCUGCUCAAAUCUGCACAGCUAGGCAAGACAUCUUCCUCUGUGGCCUUUCCAUCAUGAUAUACGAAGUAUCAUGUUCUAUGCAGACACUUCUCUUCUGGCUCCCAUGUCUAGAUCACUAAACCAGCAAAUAUUUAUGCUUUAUUUCACAUGAGAGGGUCAAGUAUACACAACCAUGGGAUGACUUCAGUGGCAAGUUCAGCUUGGUGAUGGAGUUAUGAAGCUGCGAUUGAUUGAAAGCUUGGUAGACUUUGCAAUUUGAACUCUGUCUAUCAAAAGGGGAGGUUGAAGUCCUAAUGCCUAGUACCUUAUAACGUAAAUUCAUUUGGAAAUAGAGCCCCUAUCGACAUAGUUAUUUCAAUUAAAGUAAGAUGACAGAGGUGAGGGUGAACCUUUAAUCGAGUAUGACUGGUGUCAUAACACAAUGACAGUAGAGGAGGAGAAUGCCUCACAGUGACACACAGGUAGGCCAUCAAAAGGAAUAGAUCAGAGGAGUACAAUUCCAAGCCGAAAGAAUACCAAGGGCGUGGCACCAAAGCACCAGAAGCUAAGAUGAGCCCAGAAAGGAUUCUCCCUUAUAGACUUCAAAGCAAGCAUGGUCCUACUGGAAUCUUAACUUUGGUCUUCUAGCUUCAAGGAUUAUGAGAAAAUACAUUUCUGCAUUUUUAAUCCCCUCACUCUGUGCUAUUUCAUCCUGAUCACCCUAUGAAAUUGAUGUAAUAGAAAUUGCACCCCAUAUAGAAGAGAGAGAAAAAACAUAUUUUAGGAUUAUGUUUAUUUAUCCUGCCAGAAAGUGGUACCAACAAUCCAGGAAGUCUUUUCCAAUUUGUAUGAUGAUGACACCACGCGGAGCAGAACGUAACCCACCCAUUUGUUGCUUCUUAGUAAGCCUGAACUCUUAAGCUAGAUAAGAAGCCUAUAUUCCAUUGCACUUUCUGGAGGAUACUGUCAGCCAGGCCUCAGGAAUUUCUGAUUCAGUGAUACUAGAUGACAACUGAAAAAAAGGUAUCUCUGUCUGUCUCCUGAGGAUGCUCAUCAAGUUGGUCUAGUGACAUUACUUUCUGAACUGUUGCACUGAACCAAUCAGCCUCCACUGAAGCUCAGAGAGGAUUCUAGUCGCCGACUGAUCCAAAACCAGGAAAAUAACUGCUCUGUUGACCCAGAAGCUUCUGAGUUUGUGAACCAUUGGUCCACAGAAAAAAAUAACUAAAACUCCAAGUCAUGCUGGCCAUCUAAUCUUCUACUGCAAACAUGCUUACAUCGACAGGAAGAAAAUAAGAAUAUGACAGCAAGCAUCUUAGUUACUAAAGCAAGUUUUUAAAAAAGGGUUGGUUAAGUGGUGAUCUUCCCCUCUCUUUCAGCUUCCCUGAUACCAUGGCCCCAGUCACAUUCCCAGAUCUGUAGCAGACUCCUUGCUAAAACCAUCUUCCCUUCUUGUGCUUCUUGUUCAUGGGAACCCACAGGCCACACAGGCCAGGGAAGCAGGUAGAGCAACUUUAGACCUUCACUUAUCUCUCAGCUCCUCCACAUCUAAUCACCUAGUCUCCUCUUCAGUUUUGCAGCAGACCGUCUGCUGAGGCUGACUUCCCCAGCCAUCUCCAGUGGAUCACACAGAUCUUCCUGCUCCAACCUUCCCUUCCACCUUCUCAUUGCUUGGUUUCAUCUCCAAGAUCCAGCAGGCACUCCCUAGGAACCCACAGGCCACUCUUCCCAGGGAAAUGAGCAAUUAGGCUAACUGCAUAUCUUCGCCUCUGCCCAUUCCUCCAAGACCAGUCACCCCAGUCUAAUCCCAGCUUGGUAGCAGAACUUCUGCUGUGCUUCUCCUUGCUCUCUACCCCCAUUCUCAGGUGACUUGACAGAUCCUGGUGGAAAACUUCAAUUUCCUCAGUCCUGUAGACUCCCCUGAGUUCAUACUUGUUUCUAAAUCUCAGCCACCAAUACCCAGAAACACAUUUUACCUAGAAACUCCAGUGGCUACACUAUUAGAAUCCCAGAAGAAUUUCCUCCCAGGCAACACACACCUGUCACACUGUCCCAAGAACCAGAGAGGGAAACAAAAACUAAGGAACAAAACACCCACCCAACAAAGACAAGACCAGAUAUCAGCACCUAGACUUACAAUCUUCCCCCAGAUGCCUAGACGCCAGCAUAAAAGCACAAUCAAUAACAGCCAGGACAAUAUGUCUCCACUAGAGCCCAGCAACCCUUACACAGCAGGCCUGAAGCAUUGCAACAGAGCUGAAGCACAAGAAAUAGACCUUAAAAUAGUCUUUAUGAUUAUAAUAGAGGUCCUUAGAAAGGAAAUGAAUAAAUCCCUUAAAGAUGUCUAUGAAAACACAAGCAAACUGUAAAAAUGAAUAAAACUGUUCAAAACCUGAAAGUGGAAAGACAAUCAAUAAAGAAAACCCAAACUGAGGAAAAUCUAGAAAUAAUAAAGGAUUGAAAUGAAAUCAGGGAAAAAUCACCUAUAACGACAGCCUCAAAUUAUAUAAAAGGCCUUGAGUUAUGUCUAACCAAUCAAGUGAAAGUCCUAUAUAAUAAGAACUUCAUCACACUGAAAAAGAUAUCAGAAUGUGGAAAGAUUUGCCGUAUUAAUGGAUUGGUAAGAUUAACACUGUAAAAAUCACCAUCUUACUAAAAACUAUGUACAGAUUUAAUAAAUUCCAAUAAAAUUUCAAACCCAACUCUUCACAGAUCUUGAAAAAGACUUUUUUAGCUGCAUAUGUAAACAUAAAAAGAAAAACCCAUAAUAUCUAAAACAGUCUUGAAUCAUAAAAUACUUCAGGAGGUAUAAUCACUCCCAAUUUCAAGUUGUAGUUCAGAGCUGUAGUAAUAAAAACAGCAUGGUAUUAGCACACACAAAAAGACAUCACAAUGAAAUCAAAUCAAAGACACAGAUAUGAAUCCAAACAUCUGUGAACACCCACAUUUUAAUAAAGAACCCAGAAAUACACACCUUUUUUGACAAAGACAUAAUUUUCAACAAACGGUGCUGGUCAAAUUUGAAUGGCUACAUGUAGAAGAAUCCAAACGUAUCCACACUUAACACCCUGAACAAAACAAUUCUAAAUAUAUCAAAGACCUCAUCAGAAGACCUGAUACACUGGGGCCUGGAGAGAUGGCUCAGAGGUUCAGUGCACUGGCUGCUCUUCCAGAGGUCCUGACUUCAAUUCCCAGCACCCACAAGGUAGCUAUAAUGAUCAUCUAUAAUGACAUCUGCUGCCCUCUUCUGCCCAUACCGGUAUACAUGCAGACAGAACAUUGCAUACAUAACAAAUACACCCUAAACAGUUUUGUUUUUUUAGUUUAACAGACCAGAUUCACUGAACCUUAUAGAAGAGAACUUGGGGAAUAGCAUUGAACUCAUCGGCAUCAGAAAAAUAUUUCCAAACAGAACAUUGCUAGCAUAGGCACUAAGCUCAACAAUUAAUAAACAGAGCUUCAACUGAAAAGAAUCUGCAAGGCAAAGAAUAGCAUCAUUCAGACACCAUAGCAGUCUAUAGAAUGGGAAAAGAUUCUUUUUACCAACUACACAUCCAAUUGAGGGCUAGUAUGAAAAACAUAUAAAUAACUAAAUGAAAUAAAUUUUAAGAACACAAACAACCCAGUUUACAAAGUGGGUACAUAUAUGUUAUAUAUGUUCAUAUAUGAACCUGGAAUAUUCAGAAGAGGAAGCUCAAAUGGCUGAGGAACACAUAAAGAAAUGGUUAACAUCUUAGCCAUCAGAGAAAUGCAAAUCAAAACUGCGCUGAGAUUUCUUCUUACACCUGCCAGAAUGACUAUGAUGACUAGAUCAAUAACACGUGUGACAGCUCAUACUGGUAAGGAUGUGGAAUAAAGGGAACACUCACUCAUGUAUUGUAGUGGAAGUAUCAACUUGGACAACCUAUUAAAAUCAUGGUAGUGGCUCCUCAGAUGAGAUUCAAUCUAAUUCAAAUCCAGCCAUAUGAUUUCUGGGCAUAUACCCGAAGGAAGCACCAUCUUCUCACAGAGACACUUGUGCAACCAUGUUCAUUGCUGCUCUAUUUCUAAUAUCUAAAGAUUGGAAACAACCUACAUGUUUCUCAACAGAAGACUGGAUAAAGAGAAUGUAGUACAUUUGUAUAAUGGAGUAUUACUCAGAUAUUUAAAAAAAUCAUGAAAUUCACAAGUAAACAGGUGAAAGUAGAAAAAAAAUUACUCUGAGUGAAGUAGCCAAGAUCCAGAAAAACAAACAUUGUUUAUGUAUUUGCUAAUAUGUAGAUAUUAAGUCAAUUAAUUGAUGACAACCAAGCUGCAAUUUACAGAAUCACAGAGGACAGGUAUAGAGUAAGGGAAUGGGGGAGGGGUGGGAAGAUAUAUCUCAUUGAGAAAGAAAAUAGAAGAGUUAUGGAUGGAUGUGGGGGCCUGGGACAGGAGGAUUAAGUGAAGGAGGGGAAGAGGAGAAGGGAACAAGGGAGGUAUACAGGGAAAACAGCUAAAAUCAAGGGUCAUUUGAGGGGUACUAUGGAAAUCUAAUAGAGUAGAAGUUUCCUAAAACAAUUUACAUAUCAAGGUCAUCUAAAUGGAAUCUCCAAGUAAUGAGGGAGACAGAGCCCUAACUGGCCAUCUUCUGUCACCAAGUGAAGCUUCCAUUGCUGCUUCAUUUUUUUUUUUUUUUUUUUUUUACAUCUAAUUGAGUUGAUGGUCAAAGGUGUUCUUUGGAAAUCCCUAAAGAACUCAGGAUGUUGUGAAGACUUUUUGUAGGUUGCUUUCUAUAAACAGAUGCCAAGGUCCCACUGUUGAAGACGGCCAAGGUGGUGCCUACAUAGAGCCUUCACUUCUACAUUGUAGUGUGUUUGGUAAAGGAAGGUACUCUGCAUGCUACCAAAAGAGAAACCUAAAUGUCAAACCAGUCACAAACCUUUUAAUUUAAAAUUGUGUCUUGCUUGAAAUAAAUUCUAGGGCAAUGGUAGCUCAAAGCCUGUGGGAGCAACCAAUGAAUAUUGGAUUAGCUUAAGGCUCACUCCACAAGAUGGAAUUCGUACCAGAAACUGCUUGAGUGACCAGGAACCUGAGACUAGAUAGCACAGGGACCUAGGGGAAAAAAAAAACACCCAAUACUACUAUUCACAUUAAAGGAGCUUCCUGGGAACAUGUACAGAGACCCACAGCUAGACAGGUAUUAUGCAGAGACUGAGAGACCUUGGAACACUGAGAUGUCUUCCAAAGGGAGAAGAGACAGAAAUUGUGUAAAAGCCAAAGGAGGAUACCAAGAAAACAAGGUCCUCUAAAUCAACCUUAUCAAAGCUUAUAUGAACUCACAGAGACUGAAACAUGGCCUACAGGGGUGUAUAGCUGGUCAACUGCACAUAUAUUAUGGCUUCCAGUUUAGUGUUUCUAUUCUAUUCCUGAGUGUAAAAAACAAGUGUAUCUCUUAUUCUUGUGCUUUCUCUUGGACUCUUUUCCUUCUACGUGUUUAUUGUUCAAUUCCAACCUGUUCAUUUUUCUUGUAUCAUAUUAUAUUAGUCUAUACUAUACUAUGCAUCACAUCAUAUCAUAUUAUUAUCCCUUAGAAACCUGUUAGUAUUCUAAUGAGAUACAAAAAUAUCUGGUUAGGAGGAGAAAUGGGAAGGAAGUGGGAGGAAUAGAUAUAGGGAAGAUUGUAAACAAAACAUAUUGUGUAAGAAAAGAAUCUAUUUGCAAUAAAAAUACUAUAUAUUCAAAGGGGAAAAAGAAGUCAAAAGAAGAGAAAGAAAGGUUUUACUGUGCUCAUCAUCAUGGUAGAGAAUUCAAGACAAGCAAAAGAUGAAGCAGAAAGGAUCCUGAAUCAGGAAAAAAAGGAACUCUCUCUCUCUCUCUCUCUCUCUCUCUCUCUCUCUCUAUAUAUAUAUAUAUAUAUAUAUAUAUAUAAUUUUUUUUUUGCUCACUUUCUUAUCUCCUUUAGAUUUAGUCCAGGACCCAAGCCCACAGGAAGAGUAUAGACAACCAUACUUCCUUUCUUAUGCAACUAUAUCAAGGGGAUACUAGCUGGGCAUGGCAAAAGGCUAAUCUAUUCUACAUGGUCCCAUAGAAAUGUGCCCUAGGUCUAUUUUCUGGGUGAUUUUGAACCCUGUCAAGUUGACAAUUAUUACAAAAAGCACAGAGGGGACAAAUAUAAAGUCCUUAUUUGGCUGGGCGGUGUGGUAGCAACAGUCAUGAUAUUAUCACAUAGGCUUUAAAGUUUUUAGAAACAUGUGACAUUGUAGCAUAAGCAACCCAUUUUCUCAUUUGACAAUGGCCCCAAGAUCUUUCUUAAACUUUUAGGUUUCUACAAAUCAUUUGGAAAAUACAGCAGCAUUUAAAGCCAGUCGGAAGCAGAUAAUCAGCUGUAUUUUCUCUACUAAGAGCCCUGUUCCUGGUGGUUCUACAGAUCAAACAGACCAUGUGAAGUUCUAACAGUAAACUCCAGGACAGAUUAUGUUUAUACACCCAUGUGCUCCAAUGCAGAGAUGCUCUGAAAUAGAUGCAGUGGCAUCCUCUACUUGAGUAGCGGGAUCCUUUCUCUUCAAUAUGCAGAACAUUUCAGGUGACUGGCAUCCUGUAUUUGUAGUUAUAGUCAAGAUCUCACUUCUUUCUCAUAGGGAUUUUUCCAACAUGGUGGGAACUCCCAUCCCCUGGUGAGAGAUGGUGAGAGAGGUAAGGAAUGCUGGCUUGCUCCAUGGAUUGACAGCACAUCCUUCCAUCUGCUUCAAGGUCAGUCUCCACUUACAGCUUCCCUAAAUACAACUUGCCUACAUCCCUGAUUAGUUCCAGGCUGAGUGGGCAUACUAAAUACACGGAGUGGCCAGUGACUAACAAGGGCUUUUCUGUCCUCCCCGUAAGCAUCACCCAGCACAAGGAUUACUUACAGUUGAGGGAGUGUGACCACACACUCCUGCGACUAUGAUGCCACUUCUCCUGACUUUCAUUUCAGGCAUGCAAAAUCAAUAGCAUUUAAAAAUAUUUCCCUAAUGCUCAUUGUUUCACAGAAAAAUAUAUUAAUUCUGCUUGCAGCCAUCAGAGGAAUUAAAUGGAGAACAUUAGGUCUUCCAUUAAAAGCCUUAGUUUCAAUCUCUUUAAUACUUUGCAGUGUUUGUUUCCCAAGAACCUAUAAUACAAUUUGAAUUAUGAGCAAAUUUCAAUGUGGAUAUACAGACUCUAUGGGCCAAGUCUACUAUUUACAUCACCGACAUUUGGGGUGUGUGUGUGUGCUUGUACACGUUGCUUUUAGUUUUUUAUUAAAACUCCACGUUUCUCUUAAACAAGGAGUUUGUUUUAGCUUACAGAGGAAAAUUUGAAGUUUACAAUUCGCUCCAACUUACUCCUUGAAGAAUAAAUACCUCAUCCUCUAAUUGUUUUUAACUUAUAAGAAAUAAGCUCCCUGUGGGAUUUAAUGAGUUGCCCACCACUGACUCCACAGGAUACAGUCAACAAAUUUAAUAUGUAUAUACUUAAUGAUAGAUCUGACAGCUGUGAAUUGUAAAUAGAAAUUUGGUAUAACAGAGAUUUUUACAAGAGAGAAGAAGAAUAACAUUUUUGGAAUUUCCAUUAGCAAUAAUUUUCUCUGACUCCUUUUUUUUAUUCUCAUUUUAUUAUGAGAAGAUAUGCUUUGGGGCACUUGGGGGACAAGACAAAGAUGAAGUAUGAUACUAAAAGGACAAAAAUUCUCUAUUGAGAUGAUUUUAUUUUAGUAUCAUUGAUCUUGUUGUCCAUCUAAUUGAUGAAAUGUGUGGAAACUACUACUCUUCCCAGUUGGGAGCCACUCAGUCCACCACCUAGAAAACUCUGGGAGGAAGGAGGAAGGGGGAAUUGCACACACACAAAGGCAGCUAUCUUUGUUUUGCAUCUAGGAAAAGAUAAGACCAGCAACCCAGUGAGUCAUGCAUCAGAUGAUGGACUUUCUGUAAGUAAUUUGAUUCAUUACUAAAGACCUCAGUUUGUAUAUACUUCUGAAGAGAUUCAUAAUUCCUCUAUGAUAAGUGGAAGCUAGGAAAUGUCAAGGUACUGUCCAGAGUCACACGGGCAACAAAUUAAAGAACUGAUCACUUGACUCCAACAGCUACCCUGGUGUAUGAAGAUAUUUUACUUUCUUUUAGGAAUGGGCAUAUUGUUCCCACAAAGGACCACUGUAGGCAACAAGGAACAUAGGCUCUCGGUAAGCUCUGCUCAGCUCUGCCAUUGGACCAUGUGAGUGCAGCCUCACAAAGAACUUAACAAGUGAGCUGGGCUGGAUGCAAAUCCAACUUACUUUUUUUGGACAAUAAAACCUGAAUUUAAUUGAAUUUUCAUGUGCUGUAUUUAUUCUCCUCCCUGACCAUUUAAGAAUGAAAAUAAUGUUUGGAAUCUCUAGCUAUAUAACAACAAACAGUACACAUGGCCAAAAGGAAACUCACAAAUCUGCCCUGGAAGUCCUGGCACUGGAAUCAUUGUUAAUUCCUUAAGUGUUUGGAGGGCACAAGUUAACUUUAUAAGCAAACAGUCCUGGGAGGCUCUCCCACAAUGCCUACAAUGGAGCAUGUUCCUGCCUAAGGUCUAGGGACUUAACUGAACAGGUAGCUUUACCUGCAUCAUCUUGAUAACUUUGCAUUCCUUGCUGCCUUUUGUUCUGGAGACCAAAUUUCCUCCAUUGCUGUAAUUUAAUGUUUUUUCAAAGAAAAAAAAUAAAAGUUGUAUCACUUAAAGUUACUGUACCUUAACAAAUGCACCGGAAGUGGCAGUGCUUUUGCAUGCAUGGAAGCUCAAAGCCUCAGCAACUCCCAUGAGCGAUUAAUCUUCUAACACUAAUUAGAUAUUUGCUAAUUAGCGUCUGAUGUGUGAAAUGAAAAAACAUUUUGAAGCUGAAAUGAAUAGGGUCUAGAAAGAUAGGGCUAUAUUCCAGUUCCCCCUUUUCCAUAUUAUUAUCAUAUUUCAUAAAUAUUAAUAAGAUCACAUGACGCCAGCCGCUCUAUAAAAUUAUCUCUCUGAAUGAAGGCUUUUGUUCACUAUAAUAGGGAUGUGUCAAUAUUUUGCAUAUGGAAGAAAGCACUCGAUGAAGGAAAACAUUUUUUCCUUCAAUGUUAAAGAGAUGUCAUGUUUCACGAAUCACUUUUAUGGUUGAUCAUCCACUCCUACUUUUUUAACUUGGGCCUCUUCUUCCCAUAAAAAUGGGAAGAAAAUCUUUCUUCAAACCACUGCCCUUCUCCUUCCAUACACUUUAAUCCUGCCUUGGUUUAAAGAAACCUUAACAGAACGGAAAAUAUUUUUAACCUGUGCUUCUGCGUUGGGAAAAGCAGAAGUCAUUGUAGAAUGGUCGAUAUCAAUGAGAUAUGUAUAAAAGAAAGACAUUUGAGUUUCAUUUAUCGUGUGCAGGAGGACAAUCCUAAAAAAUAACUCUAUAUGCCACGUUUAAAACACACACACACACACACACACACACACACACACACACGCACACAUGCACAGAGAACUAGAUAGAGAUUUCAGUGCUUUCUUCUCAUGUGCAGGCUAUAAUAUUCAAGUCAUAAAUAUUAAGCCAUGUUGUAUCCUCUAAAUGUAACAUUUUGAUUUGGAAUAUAGCUCAAGUGAAAGUCUAUAUUAAACAUUCCUGGUUCUUUCUCAAAAAAAAAGGAGAUCUAUAAUAAUAACCUAUUUCAGUCAGUGUGAGAUUUAUUUUUUUUUCAAAAAGCAACUCACCUGUGAAUGCUGGUCAUAUCACAAAUUAUAUCUAAUUACAGCAUUGAUACAGUAAUUUGCAAUGAUAGCUAAGCUCAAGUUGACAAAGGUGACAUUGGAACAUAAUGACGAUGAGAUUAUCAUUCUCUUAGGCUGACAUUUUGUGAUUAUAAUAAUGCUGAUCGAGAUUAUUAACACCAUAAUGAAAGCAAAGUCCCAAACUCUACAGAAAAGAGAUCACAGUAAGAUGAACAGAGUGAGUCAGAACUGAAUUCCCAUUUUCUCUCUUGCAUCGGUAUGAUUUUUCUUCUAGUACAAAAUGAGGCACACUCCUUAGUCCCAGAGACUCAUGGAAACUGCAAUUGACAGACAGCCUACUCUAUCCACAAACACAACUCUCUGCUUUUCAAAGCUGGAAAUAGAGGAUAAGGUCAUCGAUGCCAAUUUAUCCAUUUGCACUGGGGAUUGUUUUCUGAUUGGCGUUGAGGUUGAUGGUCAGUUCCCCUGUGCAAUACCCCAGUGUGCUAUCUGUUUUGGGGGCUGCCAGGAUGCUCGGCUUGAAAUCAGUGGCGCUCCCAAAGCUCUCCACUGUUCUAGACACCAAGCGAAUGGGAAUAGUCUGGCAGACAUUGCCGUUUCACUUAUCGUUAAGUGAGAAUAAAACCAGACAGCUUUUAAUUACCAACAACAGAGAAAUGAGUCAAGGGGAAUCAUACUCAAUCAAGACAUCACUAGUCAAUCCAGCAGGCUGCCUGGCUAAACUUGGGAAAUGAACCAUGUUCUCUACUCCGCUCAGAUGAGAUUAUUUAAAUGGUAUCAGGUUCAAAGUAUCUGAUGAGACUUGUAACUCCAGCUGAAUUCAGAAUCUAAUUUCAAACAGUGACACUAAGUAUGUCUCAAUUAUUUGAAAUCGCCUUCUCAACUACACAUAUAAUUUUAAAUUUGGUUUUCAUCAAUCCAUGGAGUUUGGGGUCUUAAAUUAUCAUCAUUGAUUUAUAGAUACUCACCUGGAAGCAGUUGGAAAAAAAAAAGGCUCUGGGUAGGUCAGGCACAAUUGUCCCAUUUUGUCAAUGCAGCAAGAUAUGAAGUGACAGGUUUGGACUAUAAUUUCUGCCACCUAAUUGGAAGUUUCCCAUUAUCCGACACUGUCCCACAUUCAGAAAUAUUUGAAAAGAUUCCUUCAUUCCUUAAAGUGGAAGAUGACUGCUUGUUUUACAGUUCAGUCAAGUCUUAAGGCUUCCUGAUCGACCCUUUUUGUCUUCAAGCCAUGUACUUCAAGGUAUGUGACAACGGGAAUGACCCAGUGUCCUCAAUAUCUGAUUCUUCAAUAAAUCCUUCAUUUCAUUUGCAAUUUUGAUCCCUCCACAGUCAAAAGUGAUGAUACCUAUCUAGGACAUAAUAUUGCCUACCCCCCAGAAGAAACUAUAACUUUAUUCUCUGCAAAGGAGAAUAGAAAGUACCUUGUCACUGUAUCCACAGUUAAUAUAAGAAAUAGAAAGUCAUACUCUUGUUCUGGAGAUAAAGUCCAGCAUUAAUGGGCUGGCAGAUUUCAUGGGUGAUGAAGCCCUCAUUCCCUGCUUCUAGCAUGGUGCCUUUUUGCUAUGUCUGUUGAAUCAGAUAAACACUGGGCAUUCACAUGGCAGAAGGCAGCAGGACAAAAGGAUCUAAGUUGGUUCUUCUAAAAGGCACUAAUCCACUGAUGGGGGACAGCACAGAUGAGAGUCACUCCCAGGAAGAUCCAUCUCUUAAUACCACCAUAUGGCAUUUAGGUUUCAACAGGAAUUUUAAGGAGGAUACAUCUAAAUCCAAACAUGGCUUUAGUGAGCAUCCUAAGUGAGCAUCCAUAUGUUCUGUACUUCCUCCGGACACUCUUUUUUUUCCCAUGCCUUUGCCUUUUCAGUGUUGGAGUUUCCUUUCAGUCUCACUACCAUUUUGUUAGCUUUAUCGUAUAUUUUUUUUCUCAGCUUCUAAUUUCUCCAAGGCCCUGACACUUAUGUAACUUUUUACUUUUGAGGUACAGAAGAAGAGAAAGUCAACGUUUACUGACUGUGCUUGAGCCAUCAAGUGGCUUGGAUAUCAUAUUACCAGAUGUUCCAGACUCCUAAUGCUCAAGACUCCAAGUAACAGACCUGGUUCUUCUUAUUGGGGCUCUAUAGAUAGACACAACUAGAGAAGGGGAAUGGAAAUUUGUUUGAGCUUGGAGUUUCGCACAUUGUAGAUCUUUGUAAAUUAAAAACAAGAGAGUUAUUUUUGGGGAAGGGGUAAUUUCAUUUAAUAUAAAAUUGUUGAAUGUACAAUAUGUUAUUACUUGUCAAACAUUCAAGAAAGAAGGAAUCACAUACUAAGGGGAAAAGAAUUAACCUAAACUUAGAGAAAAUUGUUAUAUUAUAUCUUGUUUUGGACUUCCCAUGUUCUACCGAAGACACAGAUAACAUCAGGGAGAGGGACUCAAGAGCAACAGAGAAACAAAUUGAGCGAAUAGAAAGGAAGUAGAAAUAUCCUUAGCUAGCUGGAAUUAACCACUCUCUUCCAUUAUGUACACCAAAGUAGUCAAGAGAAAAAAAAAUUCUGUCAUGUGACUCUAUUGCUCAAAUUCCCUUCCAUUAUUUCUUACUAAAAGUUAGUAAGUUUCAGGUUGCUUUCUUGACCUAUAACAGAGUGAUCCCAGAUAACCACAAUAUAAGUUAAAGAUUCAAACAAACAAUCAAUUUUUGGGAGACAUACUUACAAUAAAAACAAAAUAAAAUCAAAAUUGAACAAAACAGAAAAAAACCACAACUUGCUGUUUAUAUGAACAUCAAGUGAAGCUGGGCACCCUGCAUUUUACUUGCUAAUUCUAUAAAUUCAAUCACAUCUCUAACCCAGCUCCCAUGUCCUUUUGAUGUUUCAUGUUUAUGAAUUUUUCUAAAGUGGUUUUCAGGUUCUUUGAAACAUAGAAGGAGAUGUGUUCUUGUUCCCACACCUGGCUCACCAUGCCUCUCUUCCCUGGAAUGCUCCUCUUAUUUUUCUCUCCCUACUCAGCUAAGCACUACUCCACAGUCUGGCAAAGAGUAGUCUUAGUCCCGGAGUCCUUAUUGCUUUGAGACAUCUCCACUAUUCUCAUUUGACAUUUGACAAAUAACCAUUACUUUUUUUCUCUAAACAUUUUGACAGCAAUGGCAGAGUAGCAUCUUUAGGUUAUCUAGCAAUUAUCUCUGCUCGACCACUCACUCAUGCUCCAUUUAUGUCUUCUAGACACACCUGUUGAUUCUGCAAGGCAUGCUUCUUCCAGUCUCUGGGUGGUUAGUUCCUUGUCUGAGACCAUUAGUGUAGCAAGUGAGAGAAUCAGAGUUUGAGAAAUUGUUAAGUACCACUUUAAAUGUGGUACACAGUGGCACAUGCCUGUAAUUCUAGCAUUUGGAGGUAGAAAAUCAGGAGUUCUAGUGCCAGUCUCAAACAUACAGUGAGUUUGAAACUAGAGUGAGCUAUAUGAGAUCUUUUUUUGUUGUUGUUGUUGUUGUUGUUUUUUUAAACAAACAAAAAACCUGAACAACAACCCAAACACAAGCCAACUAACCAUCACUAGCAACAACUUAGAUUCUGAUGCUAUAUUGUUGAUUUUUCUCAGUUUCCUACCAGUGUGUGUGUGUGUGUGUGUGUGUGAGAGAGAGAGAGAGAGAGAGAGAGAGACAUCAGUUCUUUCUUCCAUUUCCUUGAGCUCUACCCCACCUCUGCUGACCAAGCACAACUACCUGUUCAGUUUCUCUACACAUAGCAUUUGAAGCAUCUGCUACAUGCACAGAUCUUGAGCUUGUCAAAGAUACCUUCUUAAGACUUUGAACCCAGUCCCUCCAAAUUCAGCAACAACUGCUGCAAAGUAUAUUGUAUUGUUUGUUUUCUUUUUAAGUUGUUAAUUUCCUGAUUCCAACCUUUCAUUUUCACUAAUUCUAGGCCUUUUCUCUAAGCAUUAGCUUUAAAUAUUCCAGUUUUGUAUUUACUUGUCUUUUCCAAUGGGUCUAUCUACUUUUAUGUUCAGUAGUUAAGGUACUUCAAGCUAUUAUCCAAGCCUACCAUUUCAUAAUUAGCAUUUCCUAAUUCUCAUCAAAAAUCGCUAGAUUUUAGGUAUAGGUUGAAGACCUCAGAAUUGAUCAUGAAUAAUUGCUCCACAUUCAUUUUACUGAAUACACAUCUUCCUACUAGACAGUCUAUGAAUGCUAAAGGCCCAGCUACAUAUUAUAUCAUCCAGACUAGAUUAUCUACUAUUUUUCAGGAUACUUUAUAGAUGUGUAUAAGUGUAUCAUAUUGUGUAGUGUGUGUGUGUGUGUGUGUGUGUAAUAUAGCGUUGGAUGCACUAAUAUGACAUGAAACAAGUUUUGUGGUCUGACACUCAUAGGUAAAUUACUCAACAUUUUAAAUAUUCAGUAUCUUAUCUUAAAAGUAGGAAAAUACUAACUCCCAACUUAUGGCAUAACCACAAGAUGAAUAGAACCAUAUAGACCAAUCUAGGCAGUUGUGUGGUUAUAAUUGAAGAAAACUUAAAAGUAAAGGAGCAAUGGAGAAAAUUGAUUAUUCCCUAGUAGAUAUCAGGUUCAAAUAGCUCCCCCUUUUUUAAACUUUUUUUUGUAAUUUUUUAUUAGAUAUUUUCUUUAUUUACAUUUCAAAUAAACUAGAUUUCCUAGUUUCCCCUCUGAAAAUCCCCUAUCUCCUUCCCCCUCCCCCUGCUCCCUAACCUAUGCUCUCCCAUUCCUGGUCCUGGCAUUCCCCUACACUGGGGCAUAGAGCCUUCACAGGACCAAGGGCCUCUUCUUCCAUUGAUGACCGACUAGACCAUCCUCUGCUACAAAUAUAGCUAGAAUCACAGGUUCCACCAUGUGUUUUGUUUGGUGGUAUAGUUCCAAGGAGCUCUGAGGGUACUGGUUAGUUCAUAUUGAUGUUCCUUCAAUGGGGCUUCAGUCCCCUUCAGCUCCCUGGGCAUUUCUCUGGCUCCUUCACUGGGGACCUUGUGCUCCGUCCAAUGGAUGACUGUGAACAUCCACUUCUGUAUUUGCAAGGCACUGGCAGAGCCUCGCAGGAGACAGCUAUAUCAGGCUCCUGUCAGCAGGCUCUUGUUGGCAUCUGCCUAGUGUCUGGGUUUGGUGGUUGUUUAUGGGGUGGAUCCCCAAGUGGGGCAGUCUCUGGAUGGUUGUUCCUUCAGGCUCUGCUCUGAACUUUGUCUCUAACUCCAUCCAUGGGUAUGGUUAUCAAAUAGCUUCUUAAUUAGGGUUGGCACCUUGUUUCUAUCCCUACUACCAGCGUUAUGACCUUAUCUGUCUUGAAUCUAUGCAAGUCUUUUCUAUGCUUCCAGGGUCUCUGUGAGCUCCUAUGUGCAUAAGAUCUGUGGAUAAGUGAGAAACACUCUUUCUCCACUAUUUAGAAUGUAACAUAAUCUAACUUAUAGUAUACGUGAGCUUGUUAGCUGUAUAGUAGUGUUUAUUAAUGUUCAAGUGCAAAGAGAAACAUGAGUUCUAAUGGCUAGCACAAUGUCUGUGGUAAAUAAAAUGUAAUAUAUUUUAACAUUGUUCAGUGGAUCUAACACACACGCACACACACACAUUUGAGAGUUGUUGCAUAUGGCAGUUAGUUUGAUUUGAGCCAUUUCACAGUAUUCACACAUCUUGAAAUACCAUAUUGCGUACUGUAAAUACAUCUGAUUUUUAUUUGUUAAUUAUACAUUAAUAAAGCUGAGGGAAUAAAAUAAAAUUUAAAGCGAUAACAUAAAUUGAUCAUAUAUUCACACACACAAAAUUAAAGGAGACUGUGGCUCUUAGAAACAACUUUAAGAAAGACAUAGUCUUAGGAUGUGUGAUCAUAAAGAGAUACACAAAAUGUGUGUGUGUGUGUGUGUGUGUGUGUGUGUGUGUGUGUGUGCUGGUUUCUGGAGUACUAGGGAUAGAACCUAUGGCCUAACCAACACUAGGCAAGCACUCUACUAAUGAGUUCUAACUGAACCUGAUAUAUAUAUUCUAGUAGAAAAAGUCACAGCCAUCCAGAACUCUCUGAGAAGGAAAGGGGAAAAAGAAGUAUAUAAUCCCCUCAGAAAUAUAGGAAGACACUGUCUCAGUUGCUUCGAAUGUUUAACAAGAUUUGUAAACAGAAUAUUAGAUGUCCUGUGAUGCCCUGGUGUCAUUUAUUUGAAGGCAGUAAGUGAAACCUCUUUAGGUGCCUGUGCAGCUCACAGUCAUGGACUUGUAUAUUGCUGUUUCCCUCUCGCUCGAGCUGUGUACCCUCUUCAGUCUCCUCCACUCCGACGGAGGAGUUAAUGCAGUUAGAUUGCUCGUGGGCUUCUAGCGGGACCACUUCAAAUGAUAUUACUUCCAUUUGCGACGUGCAUCACCAGCAGCGCUCACAUUUGAAGGGAACAGUAAACAGACAUCUAAGUCGGCUUGCUGGAAGAGAAGCCCCGCUUCCCACUGAAAAGGAAGCCAGCGACAGGGCUAUGAAUUUGUCAAUUUCGUAAACAGCGAGGCUGUAUCACUCUGGACCACACCUGAUUGAGGCUCUGGAGAGGCCCAAGAUUGCUGUGAGCUCGCAGGAUGUGGAGGGACCUCCUUCAAGGAUCAGAAGUCAAUUUUGACGGUAAGGGAUCGAUGUAGUGAGACUGAAUGCUUUAAUCAGGGCUUUCUGCUGAUAACUAUCAUUUCUCGAGGAAUUCCACUCCGUGCCAAAAAGAAGGACCAGGCAAGGAUCUACCUACCACAUAGAGGUCCUUGAAGAUUAAAUGACACUGUGGCUAAAAGAUAGAGAACGAAGGAAAGGAUGCCUGCUUUUAUUCACAUAACUCAUAGUUUUAUGUUAUUCGCAGGCAACUUCUUGGGUAGUCUUUCCAGAAGGUUUUGUUCCUUACGUUAAAAGAAUAUACAGCAGCAGCCUUCCCAAUCUCUAUGAGCAACUUGUUUUUAAAAGAAAAUUUCUAAUCUGCCUCAGACAUUGCAAUACAAUGCAAACAGUUAUAUAAAUGGCAUUCGUUGUGCUAAUAUAGAAUUCUCUGGAAUGGUCCCAGAUUUUUGCGUUGCUCUGUGUAACUCAGUGUGGACAUGAAGGCUAGCCAUCAAACUGUGUAUCCUUGCUUGGGACACAUUCUGCAGUAUACACUGUAGAGGGCAUUUGAAUGAAAAUGCACCCUCAUAGGAUCACAGGGAGUGGCAUUAUCGGAAAGGGUGAAACCAAGUGGUCUCUCAGUAGAGUAGAUGUGGCCUUCUUGAUGGAAGUGGGUCACUGGAGUGAGACUUCGGGGCUUCAGAAGCCCCAGCCAGGCCUAGUAUCUCUCUCUUACUGCUGCCUGCAGAUCCAGAUAUACAACUCUCAAGCCACUAAACCUCUGAGCUGCAAGCCAGCCCCAAUUCCGUACUUUCCCUUAUAAGAGUUGCAGUAUGUGCUCCCUUCGGCAGCACAUAUACUAAAUUGGAACAAUACAGAGAAGAUUAGCAUGGCUCCCGCGCAAGGAUGAUACACAAAUUCCUGAAGCAUUCCAAUUUUUUAAAAAAGAGCUGCAGUAGACAUGGUGUAUAUCUCUUCAUGGCACUAGGUCACCAAGACAACCAUAUUUUAAUUGGCUUAAUUUUGGAGGAGUAACUAUGCCAUUGCUUUCUUUGCUUCAUCAUCUUGGUUUGUGAUCAUCAGAGAAUCUACAAGGGCUGGACAGCAUUACUGAAUACUGAAGUCUCUGUCAGCCCUUAACUACCAGCUCAAGAGGUACAUUCAAGUUGGAAGGAAUGAAGAGACAGUAUUAUAGAAAUUGGGAAUUAUAGAAUUUGGGAAUUUUGGGAGAAAGUAAGAAAGAGGUGUGUAUGUGCGUGUGUAUGUGUGUGUAUGUUAGUGUGUGUAUGUGUGAGUGUGCAUGCAUGUGUGUACAGACAUGUGCACACAUAGGCAUUCACAUUGGCUUGGUGCUCACCUAUGUGUACAUUUGUUUAUAGGUUCACAGGACUAUGCAUGUGGGUGGGAUACAGAGGCCAAAGGGGGAAAGCUAUCAUUCUCCACCUUACCGCUUCAGACAGGUCACUCACUAGAACUGGAACCCACUAAUUUUGGGUCUUUUGCCUAGAAUGGCAGCUAGCACACUUCUGAAUCCUCUUUUCAUCAUUCGCUGACAGCACUGGGAUCACAUGUGUGCGCAGCUUUCUAAGCUGGUGCUGAAGAGCUUAACCUGCAUCCUCAACCUUGUGCAACAAGCACUGUUUCUCCCUGGUCCAUCCUCCAGCCCCACAAUUUAAAAACAUGGCAACUGUACUUCUACACAUCCCUUUACACAUUACUCAUUUGUUUCUGUACUCACCAGCAGAAACCAAGAGCCUACUUGUGUGCACACAUAAAUGCACCACUUUCAAGAUACAUGGGCUCUCAUCCACUCACCCUUUAUCUCAGCUCCGCCCCUUUGAUUGACUCCAUGUAAGAUACAAUCUGGGCAUCUCUAGGAGAUCAAGGCAUCUUUUAUAUUCAGAAAGUGAACCUAUUACGUGACAAUCUAGAAGAGAUGAAGCUAAGCCAAGAAGGCCAGGAACUCAGUCCUUUGUACAGUAAUAUUGCUUGGGAUGUAAGGGUCCUCAAAUAACCCUAAAGACUGUGCCUCAUUCCCCUUAAAUAUAAGUAGGUAAAGAAUCACAGGAGACUGUCUCAUCAGGUAAUGGGCCUGCCACGGACCAGAAAAUGCCUUCUGUCUUAUUGGCAUUGUCUCAUCCUAAGGCUCCAACUUAAAGAAUUGAAAAAUAUAUCCUUCAUUAACUCACUCAGUAACUAAAAACUGAAAUAUAUAGGAUAAUAUGAAGCAAGAAGAUGUCACCAGAUGAGAGGAGAGUAGCCUAGCAUGAACAGUAUAAUGGUCAUUAUUAUCCUUAGAUUCGUUUCUAAAGGGGAUUAGAUAAGAAAUUGUUCUUUUUUUAAAAUGGUUUUGUAAUUAUCACAUUACCAUAUCAUUCCCCCUUCCCCUCCCCCCUCCUCUCUCCAGCCCAUAUAGCCCAUUGUGUUCCUAAAAUGAUGCCUUUUAAUUUUACAUAUAUACAUGUAUGUGGACAUAUAUGCAAAUGGGUAUAUAACAUAUAAAUAUAUAUUCUUAGACAAGUAAACCCAUCUUGUUCAGUCUGAACAUUGUUGCAUAUAUUCUUUCUUAAAAUAUUUCUAUUGACGUUCUCUGAAUAAAUAAGUAAAUUUUAAAUAAAUGAAAUUUUCAGAAAAAUAAUAUAGAGUUAAAAAAUCCUUAACUCAUUUCUCAGUUACAAAGGAUUGUCAACAGGUAGCUAGAGUGUUCUUUAAAAAAAAAUUUUAUUUAUUUAUUUUAUGGAAGUAUAGUGUCACUGUCUUUAGACACACCAGAAGAGGGUGUCAGAUUCCAUUACAGAUGGUUGUGAGCCACCAUGUGGUUGCUGGGAAUUGAACUCAGGACCUCUUGAAGAGCAGCCAGUGUUCUUAACCGCUGAGCCAUCUCUCCAGCCAGAGUGUUCUUAAUCCACUCAUAGUCAGGAGGGGCAAUGGUGCGAUGAGCUUGUGAGAAACCAUCCCAUGAUUUGAACAGAGAUUGACUUUAGAUAAUGUCAGUACUGGCCUAUAAAUAUAGAAUCCUUAUUGUGUCUUGGACACUAAGUACUGUCGGGUGUAUGAUGGGUUCAGAGAACAGGACUUGGAAAUGGUAAACAAUUUCCCACACUUCCAGAGAUAUACAGACAGGGCCCUGUGAAUCCUAACUAACUCAGUAUAUGACAAAGGAAAUGGUAAGAAUGUUACAUGUUUGGCAUUACUUAAUGGUACAAUCAAGCUUCUAACGCUGUGACUAUUAUACAUCAAGUUUAAAGAUGAAAUUACCCAGACCUAGAUUAAGAAAUGUAGCUAAGCUGACACAGUGAGCAAAGAAAAGGCAGGAGAUUCCAAUAUGCCCUGGGCUUUAUUCUUGACCCCACGUUUUAUCUCCAGCACUCUUUUCCACCUGGCAGCAAAGGAUAGCCUAUUUAGCCAAAUAUGUUCCAUCCCUGGCUCGUGAAAUCCUGCCGUCCACAUUGACUUCUAAAGGAGUCCGGGCACUGGCCUUUCUUAUCUAAGAUGAAUACAUUUCCCAUUACAACACACAGCUGUCAUCCCGCAUCACUCAGGAUUGCUCCCUAAUUCGCAGCCCUCGAAAUUGUCAAGCUUCCACUGGACACUUUAAUUACUGAAAUUUAUCUUUAAAAAAGAGGCAAUAUAAAAGUUGUCAGACGGGUGACUUUAUACAGUGAUCAAAGCAAAAUGCUGGAUGCUUUCUAAGGGUUUAUUAAAAGCAUUUAAUGGACUUGAGCUCACACUUUUUAUGCCCCCCCCCCAGCUCCCCUACAAAGAAAGAUAAGAUUUGUCCAGAUGAGUGUCUUGUUAUAGCCAGAUAUUUGGAUAGAAUAGAAGAUAACCUCUUGACCCUGGUCCACCUCCAGCAUACCAAAGAUCAAUCUUAUGUGCCCUGUUCUCCACAGAUGAAGAGUUGCUGGUAGGAUACUGUCUUAUUUAGGGUUUCUACUGGGGCAAGAAAACACCAUGACCAAAAAGAAAGAUGGGGAGGAAAGGGUUUAUCAAGUAUACACUUCUAUGUUGCUAUUCAUCAUUGAAGGGAGUUAGGGCAGCAAUUCAAACAGGACAGGAACCUUUUUCUUUUGCGCUAGAAUGUCUGGCAUAUUGUAAGUUUUAUAAUGAUAUAGCAUGUAGCCCCAGGAAUCUAUGGUAAAACAUUUCAGCCAAAGUAAUAUUUUUCUCUACUUAAAAAGAUCUAUGCCGGGCAGUGGUGGCACACGCCUUUAAUCCCAGCACUUGGGAGGCAGAGGCAGGUGGAUUUCUGAGUUUGAGGUCAGCCUGGUCUACAAAGUGAGUUCCAGGACAGCCAGGGCUGUACAGAGAGACCCUGUCUCUAAAAACCAAAUAUAUAUAUAUUAGUAAGAGUGUUAUCCUAGACAUGAUGACAGUGUUAUGUGUAGUCAAAGGGAAAGUGUAGCCAGUUAUCAGAUACACAGGAAGGAGAGAAGAAAAUCUAGCCUUUUAGGAAUAAGGAUCCAGAAAGGCAACCUUUGGAAGAAAGUAUAUUGGUAUUUAUAAAAAUAGCCUUGUAAAAAGAUCUAUAAAGACAAAAAUACUGACUGCAAAUUAAUCAGAAAGUGCCAACAGGCUUCAGAAAGUAACCUGGGUUGUACUUACAGUUGCCAUGACUCUUUCUGAUUACAUAAGUAGUGAUGUGGGUUUGUUAUAAAACACGCAAACUAACAAAGAGCUAUGUAUUCUCACGAACCAACUGUUAGCAAUUGUUCAGAACAGCAUUCUCUAUUUCCCUUUUCUCUAGCUAUGUUUGUAUUUUCAGAUGUAUAUAUUUUUUUCAUAGACAGUAUGAUCUUUUUACAAUGGUAGCCGACUGCAUGUGUUCAGAUUUUACGUAAUUUUCUCAGUCCUAAAUUCACCUUUCUUUCUCUUUAUUCAUUCAGUUAUUUUUAAUAUCCAGAUUACUGCAAUAAAUAUUGUAUGUUGUUUGAAGAACUAGAUACCACCAUGCCAGUGCUUAGACCUGUUUAUGUUUUUUUUUUUAAGACCAAGGAUAUAUUUCUUUCUUCCUCAGGCAGACUGCUCUUAUGAUGUUAAGUGGUUUGACCAUUGGCAAGCAGGUUGUCUUCUGAAUAUGCAUAAAGAUACAAUCUCUCCCUAAAAGGUGUUUUCUGAUAAUUAGGAAAUACCAUUUAUACAUCAUUGCCUAUAAUGAUGUUAAUGCAAAUAAUAAUAAUAAUAAUAAUAAUAAUAAUACAAGCUAUUUUCUUCUAAAAGUGUCAACUGACUCAUAUAACAGAUUAAAAUCAACUCUGGGAACUUACCCUGCUUCAAUAUUAGUGUCUCUGUCUUUUUUUCCCCUCACUGUUCUUUAAGAGGACUACAGCCAGCUAGAAAUGUCAAAACCUAGGUGAUUUCAAUAGUAGACUUCCAGGUGUGAGAAUAUAAAAAGACGUCAGUUUAGAGACACUUGGUGUGAAAUCAUUGUCAAUGCCCAAAGAAGUGGAGGAAAGGUUAGAAGUGGUUCUCUGGGGCUCAGGUCUGGGAACUGGAGUGAUGCUGGAGUGUGUUUUACGGAGAGAAGCUACCCAUGUGGAAAUUCCCGUAUCACGGGGCAUCUCCUCUUCCUUAAUCUUUAAGGCACGCUUACAAAUUCUUUCUGAUAGCAAAUCUCAGUGGAGCUGAGCCAUAUGCUCCUUUUUGGUUCUUGGAAUAGUUGAUACUUUGAGGCUUAAGACCUAUAAAUAACUCCCUUUGGAAACACCAUUCUAUAUAGAGAACCUGACCUAAAAAAAAAAAAAAAGCCUGACAUUUGGAUAUUGGUCAAAAUAUUACUCCUUGACAUUAAAAUAUGUCACUGCAGUGUCAUAAUAUUGUGACACAUGGUGGUGUCACAUCAGACCAAUUCCAAACAAAGUCCUCCUCUAAGCAAUCCACUGAUGCAGGUUUGUGCAUUCGGUUGAAAUCCUUCCUGAUAUUGUAGGGUGGUGAGCAGCUUGAAGAGAGGGCAGUGUGUAAUUUAUGCACUUCGUUUGGAAACGGGCCAGCACAGUUUGGGAAGAUCCACACAGAAACUGCUCAUCAAGAUGAUUAACAAACACAAACAAGGGGCAAUUCUUGUUAACAGCACCAGGUUGGGAGACACCAAAACAUUGUGUUUCCCAUAAGAUAUUUGCAAGACUAGCUGUGGGCACCACUUCACAUGUGUUAUUAUUUAUGCUGCUAGCUUCUUCCAGGUGGGGUGAGGGUUUAAUUUACAGUAGCGAGACAUGGCUGUCUGUAUAAAGCAUUCUUUGUGAGAGCAUGGAAGAGUUUUACAUUGUAGAGGAAUAGCUACAGAUCGGUUUAGAUGCCCAUAGUAGCUGUUUCAAUAUUAUCAAUGGCCUCAGAGUCCACUUCUAGGACUUUUAUUUAAAUGGUAAGGGAGGGGGGGGGAUGUAUAAGUAUGCAAUGGCAUCUUUGAAAACCUUCAUCAGUAGUUAGCUUCACAUUGUAUCUUGCUACUUCAGGGGACUUUUUCAGACAGUCAGCAUCCUCAUUUGGAGGUGUAUUAAAAAGACAGAAUAAUUCCACUCAGAUCCAAUGGAUCUGAAUUUCUAUUUCAGUAGGGUUCCCAUGUGAACCAUAUAUUACAUUUGGAGAAGCCUUACUCUAAAUAAAGGGUGUAAAUACAAAUUUUAUCAAAUGUAACAAUACAGGUAAUAUUAAUAAAAUAAUACACAGAGAUAAUUAUUAUUAUGUACUUAGAAUGGUCCAGGUAUCCAUCUGAACACUAAAUGACAACUUACCUCUUAAAUUCUCAAAAUACAUAGGGGAAGAGGUACUAUAAUUACUGUACCUUUCAGAUAAGACAUUUGAUGUUUGAAACCUUGUUGAAGGCCAGGUAGUGGUAAGAGACCUAGCAGUUGCAACAGCGCCUACUCUGUGCAUUAAGAAACCAGCAGUUUAACAGCCAAAGUCAAAUGAAACAGAGGGACUCGUGUUCAAACAUUGUGGCCCAAUUCAAAAGUGCUUAUUGAAGAGAUAAGAGGGUCAAGGGAAUGUGAGUGGUGCUGCCUUCCUUGCACAUAAAGAAUGAUAGCCAGGAACAACUAAGAUGCAUACAAAGUAUUUGUGAAAUAUUCAGCAGCCCAGGGCAACCAUUAUCUCUAACCUAGUCAAGCAACAGAUCACAUUUAAGACUGAAUUUGGAUUUUCUUUCCAUGAGCAUGAAGCACAGUUGGUCUCCACAAAGAGCAUAACAAAGUCACAGGCAACGUGUCAUCAAUGGAAACCUUGAGCUAUUGCUUUCUUUCCUCCUUAAGAGAAAUGGCAGAUGCAUUUGGGAAGCUAUUUUCUCAAAGCAGCAAGGUCUCCCCCUGGUCAAUCCAAAAUAAAUACUAUUCUAUUAGGGACUGAAGAAAUAUCUGUUGAGUUAAUGGUUAUGGAUACAAAGUGCUCUCUCAAAGGUAAUUUGACUGUUUUUCUGAGAUUGCAUCCUGGCAGCCCCUGGCAGGGAAUCCUGUGGGUUUGUUACAUGUAAGUCUUCCUCAAUGAUACAACAACAAACACCAGGGUACAGCGCAAACAUACAGAUGCAAAAUCCAGACUUAGAGCCUUUCCUUCUAAAUUGGAAAAUCUGAUCAAGCCGAGCACUCCUGUGUGCAGCACCCAGUCACCUCUGUGUGGGGUCACCUGCAGGACGAUGACAUCUCUUCCGAACUGCUUACUGUGGUGGUAGUGUUAAUUCCCCUUUUGACAGAAUCUAGAAUCACCUGAAAGAGGGACUCUGGGUACACCUGUGGAGGAUUAUUUUGAUUAGGUUAACUGAGGUGGGAGGACCCACGGACUGUGAGUACCACUUUCACCUGUUUGGUUUUCAGGGGCGUAUACAUGGAGAAACAAGCAAGCAAGCAAGCAAGCAAGCAAGCAAGCAAGCAAGCAAGCAAGCAAGCAAGCAUUCAAUGCUCUGAUCUUCUCACUGUGGCCACAUUGUGACCAGCUGCUUUAAGCUCCAGCUGCCUUGUUUCCCCUGCCUUGAUGGACUAUAGUCUGGAACUUUCAUCAAAGGAAACCCUCUCAUUUUCGGGGUGCUUUUGUUGGAUAGUCUAUCACACACAGGAAAAAAAAAAAGACAUUCGUUAAGUACCAGUGUUGAGACCAAUAGGUAUAGGUCCUAAGCCAGUGUUGAGACCAAUAGGUCUAGGUCCUAAGCCGUGGAAUAUGUAACAGUUAUGUAGAAAAAGUGAGGGGCCCUUAUAUGUCAAAAGGUAUGUUGGCAAUAAUCUUGAAAGGAAAGGCCUUACUGGGGCUAUCUUAGUGGCUCUGCAAUGCUGUUACCUGUAUUUUUCUAUGAAAGGCAGAAAAAGACUCAAAUAGACACAAAGAGAAGAGGGAAUAAAAUGAGGCAGAGGGAGAUCACCACCACCCAAAGUGUGCCAACAGCUCCUAGAAUCAGAAAGAAACCACAGGGGAAUUGCCUCCGUCGGCUACAGAGGGAGUCUCUCCCUGGGGGCAUCUGAGCCUUAUACUCCUGACAGUAGAAUGAAGAAUAAAUUGUUAUGUGUCAACCCACAUCAUAUUUUGCAGUUCACUUCAACAUAGCACAAGAAAUUUCCAAAGACAUCUGUACCUACAAGGGUGCUGAUGUAGUUUUUUAGGGAAAAAUUGGCAAAGUAGGGUACCAUGAUAACAUCUUCCAGAGCUCUGGCGAUCUUCGAAUCCAGGUAUGGUUAGAAUCACUCAUUUAUAUUUAAAUCUCUGCUGAAGCACUGCUAUCUUAAUAUGAAAAGCAUGGAUUCCUGGAUAAAUUUAUAUUUUCAUUUCAAACUCAGAGUUUAUAUUCUAACCUAAUAAAAUGCCAUAAACAAUGAAUCUUCUAUCUGGAAUGAGAUAAAGAACAAAAAGGCCUAAACGUUGCAUAGACUUCUGCAGCCAUCUUACAAAUAGACAACACAGACUCAGAGAAAGCCAUGAGAACCCUAAGAUCAUACACAUAAUUAGUGCAGCAUCAAGGUAGACUGUCCCUGUUGGCCUGUCACUUUCUUCCCUUUCUCCCUUCACCUUUCAAAAUCCCCAGCAUUCACUUGUCCCUUCUUGAUUACUGAAAUAGAGUGUACUGUAAAGACCUGUGUAAUAGAACGUCAUGUUUGUUCAGAAGGAGUGUAGACCUGCCCUCUAUCCAUCAAAGGAAAUACUCUUAAGUCCAUCUCCAAAUAUGACUUUUUCUAAGCAAACUAAUUUAUCCAGAACAUUUAAGUCAAUUCAUAUUUAACCAUAAAAGGAUCUUGUCAUGAGGUAAGCAAUGUUUAAUGCACUAAAGGAUACGGAUGUUUAAAAAAAAUGGAAGAACAACUCAAAUGGUGACUUUUCAAGGAGAUGAGAGAAAUGCUAGAGAAUAGGUCAUAACCCAUUUAUUAAAAAGAUUAAAAGGCCCUGAGAAAAACCUGAAUAAUUAGGCUACAUAAAUUGACAAUUAAAUGGUGACUUUGGGUUCCCAAGGAUAAUAUAAAGGAGAAUUAUAUACCAAUGCUUAUUUUAGGGAAGAGAUGGGGUUGUAUCAGAAAAGAGAGAGAGAGAGAGACUUAAUUACAUUUUAUUUCUAAAAGUGAUGUUUUUACAGUGAUCACAGACACUCCACUAAGGAAAGCAUUGUCUAAUAUGUUGUCAUAUUAGCAAACUUUUACACCUAUCUUAGUCUCAGGGUAUCAAGUUUGGGAUCUACUCUGCAUAAAUUUCACACUCCAACACAACAAAACUAUUUUCCUUAAUGCAAUACUAGAACUCCCUAGAAACUCAUGGAGUCUAUAUUGCUAUAACUAAUUCAAGAAAUAAUGAUUUUUUUUUUUUUGGUGACCAGUCAGAAUUUGAUUCUCCAGGACUCAGCAAAAAACCAGCAUGUGCCGGAUGCAGAUGCUUCUAUGUAGUCUUGAGUGUACUCUGUUAUCUCUGGCACAUGUACAUCUAGCCAUGCCGCAGACUUCUCUUUACCAUCAACAGAUAUGCUUCUGAUUCAAAAUUUGAAUCUCAUUUAAACAUUUAUCUUCUAGAGUUCAGAGAGGCUAAAAUAAAACUAUUUCUUGUCUCAAACAUUUGAGUAGUGACAUCCUUGCCUUAUCUUGGUUCAAGCAAUGUUCAAGGCUUAACUCACUAAUAGGAAAAGUUAAAAAGGUUUUUUUUUUUUUUUUUUUUUUUUUUUUUUUUUUUUUUGGCAAGCCUUACCUCCAGUUAUAUAUAGCAUGGAUGGUGCUAAUUAGUUUCACUAUUACCAGAAUACCAGAAGAGUCUGGCCUAUGUGAACAGGACAGUGCCUAAAUGAUCUAUCUCUUUCCUUCAUCUCACCAGAACUGGGCUCAUUACUUGAGAGUGAGCCCUAGCUUACAGGUAGUCAAGACAAACCUUGGUUUAGCACAUGCACAAUAGAAAACUGAGCUAAAGCAGUAUUUCAGAAUCUUAAACUUGUACUAGAAAAUGAUUAAGCAGUUAAAGACUUAGAGCUGUGGGUAAAUCAAAUGGAGAGGGGUCCAGAAAUGUUAUAAAGCAAUACCAUUAAGGAGUAACAGGAUAACAGAAAGAAGACAAACAGAACACACACACAUACACACACACACACACACACACACACACACACACACACACACUCUCUCACACAUACAGUGGUCAAGCCACAUAUACCAGAGACAGAACACCUGGAUGAUAAACCACGGGGCCUAUUUUGCAAAGAUCUCGGUAACAAUUUUUGUGUCUAGAACCAUCCAUCUUUAGAAGAUCCUGACCUUGAGUUUUUCCUUCAUCUUCCUCAUACAUAAUGUACUGACUUUUCAUAGAUUUGUUUGGAUUAUUAUCCUAUGAAAAAGUCCUUCCCACUCCUUACUGAUGGAGCACAAAUGAGUUUGUUUCUCAAAUGUAAGCAGGAGAUUAGCUAGAAACAACAUUCAUCUGAAAAUGCUACACCAUUCACCAGGUCUGAUAAUAUGCUAUCUGAGCUAUCUCUCUGCCUCCUGCCGAGAGCCUGCUGUUUCCUAACUACUUUGUGUGAUGUUAUAUGAUCCUCCUCAGCAGAAGUGUGUUGAUGCAUACAGCUCAACGGGACCUACUCUAGCACAGACAUAUUCUGGCGACAGAGACUACCAAAGUACUCAUGUGCUCACAUUUGCACUCUUCCCAUUGCGUCUUGCUAGGUAUUUUAAGGUGUUCGUUGAUUAAAUAUCUAGUACCAUUAACUCUAAUUUUAACUUCAAUUAAAUGUUUAGGCUCCAUUUAGCCUAUGCUCACAAAACAGUGAGUCAAGGUUCUCAUUUCCAAUGUUUUCAACCAUGAUUCUUCAGUUUCAGAAUAUUGUCUAUGUAGUUUUAUAUAUUUGUUUUUUUUUUCCAUUUUUUAUUAGGUAUUUAGCUCAUUUACAUUUCCAAUGCUAUACCAAAAGUCCCCCUUACCCACCCACCCCCACUCCCCUACCCACCCACUCCCCCCCUUUGGCCCUGGCUUUCCCCUGUACCGGGGCACACAAAGUCUGCGUGUCCAAUGGGCCUCUCUUUCCAGUGAUGGCCGACUAGGCCAUCUUUUGAUACAUAUGCAGCUAGAGUCAAGAGCUCAGGGGUACUGGUUAGUUCAUAAUGUUGUUCCACCUAUAGGGUUGAAGAUCCCUUUAGCUCCUUGGGUACUUUCUCUAGCUCCUCCAUUGGGAGCCCUGUGAUCCAUCCAUUGGCUGACUGUGAGCAUCCACUUCUGUGUUUGCUAGGCCCCGGCAUAGUCUCACAAGAGACAGCUACAUCUGGGUCCUUUCAGUAAAAUCUUGCUAGUGUAUGCAAUGGUGUCAGCAUUUGGAAGCUGAUUAUGGGGUGGAUCCCUGGAUAUGGCAGUCUCUACAUGGUCCAUCCUUUCAUCUCAGCUCCAUACUUUGUUUCUGUAACUCCUUCCAUGGGUGUUUUGUUCCCACUUCUAAGGAGGGGCAUAGUGUCCACACUUCAGUCUUCAUUUUUCUUGAGUUUCAUGUGUUUAGGAAAUUGUAUCUUAUAUCGUGGGUAUCCUAGGUUUUGGGCUAGUAUCCACUUAUCAGUGAGUACAUAUUGUGUGAGUUCCUUUGUGAUUGUGUUACCUCACUCAGGAUGAUGCUCUCCAGGUCCAUCCAUUUGGCUAGGAAUUUCAUAAAUUCAUUCUUUUUAAUAGCUGAGUAGUACUCCAUUGUGUAGAUGUACCACAUUUUCUGUAUCCAUUCCUCUGUUGAGGGGCAUCUGGUAUAGAGACAGACAAGUGGACCAAUGGAAUAGAAUUGAAGACCCAGAAAUGAACCCACACACCUAUGGUCACUUGAUCUUCGACAAGGGAGCCAAAACCAUCCAGUGGAAGAAAGACAGCAUUUUCAACAAUUGGUGCUGGCACAACUGGUUGUUAUCAUGUAGAAGAAUGCGAAUCGAUCCAUACUUAUCUCCUUGUACUAAGGUCAAAUCUAAGUGGAUCAAGGAACUUCACAUAAAACCAGAGACACUGAAACUUAUAGAGGAGAAAGUGGGGAAAAGCCUUGAAGAUAUGGGCACAGGGGAAAAAUUCCUGAACAGAACAGCAAUGGCUUGUGCUGUAAGAUCGAGAAUUGACAAAUGGGACCUAAUGAAACUCCAAAGUUUCUGCAAGGCAAAAGACACCGUCAAUAAGACAAAAAGAUCACCAACAGACUGGGAAAGGAUCUUUACCUAUCCUAAAUCAGAUAGGGGACUAAUAUCCAACAUAUAUAAAGAACUCAAGAAGGUGGACCUCAGAAAAUCAAAUAACCCCCUUAAAAAAUGGGGCUCAGAACUGAACAAAGAAUUCUCACCUGAGGAAUACCGAAUGGCAGAGAAGCACCUGAAAAAAUGUUCAACAUCCUUAAUCAUCAGGGAAAUGCAAAUCAAAACAACCCUGAGAUUCCACCUCACACCAGUGAGAAUGGCUAAGAUCAAAAAUUCAGGUGACAGCAGAUGCUGGCGAGGAUGUGGAGAAAGAGGAACACUCCUCCAUUGUUGGUGGGAUUGCAGGCUUGUACAACCACUCUGGAAAUCAGUCUGGCGGUUCCUCAGAAAAUUGGACAUAGUACUACCGGAGGAUCCAGCAAUACCUCUCCUGGGCAUAUAUCCAGAAGAAGCCCCAACUGGUAAGAAGGACACAUGCUCCACUAUGUUCAUAGCAGCCUUAUUUAUAAUAGCCAGAAACUGGAAAGUUUUAUAUAUUUGAAUGAGCCAAUUUAUCACAACUUAAAGAAUAUAUAAUGAUCACAUUAAAGAUAAAACUCACAUUGGCUGAAAAGUUAAUUUUAUCUCAUGUUUCUUAGACUGCCUCUAUGUAAAUCCAGAUGGUGUUUACAGAUGUGUGAAAAAUAUUACUUUUUAAAAAUUAUCUAUUACAACAAAAAUAAUAAUUUCAGUUGAUAUCUGGCUGAACUGCUUUUAUUUUCUGACCUAGUUAUUUCUGGAUUUUACAUAGACAUGAAGACCAGUGAUCUUAGGACCCUGUGGAGAUUUUAAUUUUGAAAGGAACUUAACAGUUGUAGCUGGUGAGCAGCUGGUUCUAAGAGCCAGUAUGUGCAUAUCACACAUCCUUCUGUCUUUUAGAUACUUUGUUUGAUGUUAUAGAAGAAUGCGUAGUCCAAAUAUAUUGAUACAUACAUCUCAAUGAGACCUAGCCUAGCCCUCAGAGAAUCCUUAUUCAACACAACAACAAAAAAAUUGGUUUGGGCAUAAGCAAAGAGAGUCUCUGUUGAGUGAUUCAAUGUCUUAGAAGUUCUAACUGAGCAGGCACUAUUGGUCUACACAUGUAUCAUUGGCAGAUCCAUGGAGCAAAACUUAGAAUUAGGGACCUUACAUGAUCAACCACAUUGCAGGUACUUAGUGGCCUGUUAUAAGCACAACAUUAGGAUAAUGGAAAAUGUACCACAAAAGCAGCACAUAUAUGUUAGAUGAUUCUCUCUCUCUCUCUCUCUCUCUCUCUCUCUCUCUCUCUCUCUCUCUCUCUCUCUCUCCACAUCCUCUCUCUCUAGACACACGUAUAUAAUCUAUCUAUCUAUUGAUCCAUAUCUAUCUAUCUAUCUAUCUAUCUAUCUAUCUAUCUAUCCUCUAACAGUAUAUAUUUAUAUAUACACUCUAUAGAUAGAGAUAGAUGAUAUAGAUAUAGAUGUAGAUGCAGAUGAUAUACAUAUACAUAUAACACAUACAUAUUACAACUACAUAAUCUAAAAUAUAAUGAAACAUCAUUUGUUUAAUUUGUUUGUUAUAAGUAAGUUACUCUUCCUGUGUCAUAGGAGGGACAAAACAUGACAAAUUUGAAUCCUGUACUUAAUGAUCAAAGUAUGAAUGAACAUGUUGGCUUUUCAGUAUUCACUAUUUAAAAUAGGUACCUAAAACAUACAAAACGUCACCAGCAUGGGCCACAGGACUUCUCCUUAUCAUGGCUUGAUCUCAUCCCAGCCAGGCUCCUCCUCCUCAUGUAAUUGUUAAGCCCCUAAGAGCUUUCCUCUUCUCGUCACCUCAUGGUCCCUUGUUACUUGCUCCAUGUGAACAGAGUACACUGCUCAACCUUUGGCCCCCUGUGGAAACAAUUUACACUGCUUCCCUUAAAAUAUUUCAGAUAGAUACAUUUUUUUUUUAAAAUUAAGGGUCCUUUAGAAGUCACUUUUCUAAUAGACUAAUCUUUUUUUCAAAUAAAAAAUCAGCACCCAAUGCAAAUAUAUAAAGAAUAUUAUUCACAAUGCCAUGACAACUUUAGCUCAACCCUGAUGAUCACUGCACUUUCCCCCCUUACAAUGACCACCCAUUCUGAACUUUUGUAUUGGUUGUAAGGGUAAUAGACAACUAAUGACAUAUUAUAGGCAGAUCUCUGGCUCAUUUGUGAGGUAUUAUAUGGAAGCUCUCAAGGAAGAGCUCUGCAUCAUAACUGGAUAUCCCAGAAUGGACAUUUUUGAUUUAUGAAUAUGGAGCUCUGGAAAAGGGAUAUAAUACAGACCAGGUUUAUCUGGGGGUGGGGGGGAUGGAGGGAACUGUAAAAUGAGCCACAUUUUAUUGAUACUGUGGUGGGGAUAUCAGACAGAAAUUGAAAGUCAUUAUUUGGAGUCUGGAUUUGGACUAGAAGUGGAGGGAGGCAGGGCAUGAACUUAGAUCAAAGUUCUUCUGUAGGGGCUACAUCUGAUACCCUUGAAAGACCUCUCGCUGACUCCCCAACUAUCUGUCCCCAGCUGUCACUUUGAGGGACAUAGCAGGCAUCAGCUAGCUUCCUAACUGUGCCCGGACAACAUUUCUAAGGCAGCACAAACAGUCAAGGAAUGAAACAGCAAAAACUGUUUAUGUUCGUUUACUGUGCAUGUUUUUCAGUGUUUCCAGAUUAAAAACUUGCAUUUGUCAUGACCUCAGUGGGGUACAAAUGAAAAUGCUCAUUCAUAUCUUUCAGUAGAGAGAGCUCCCUCAAUUCACUGACUGAAGAGAUAACUCUGUAGUAUUACAAUAAUCAACUUGCAGUAUAUCCUCUAUUAAUGCUUCCAACUGUAGCAGUUCCUAAGAGCUAGGAGACAUUUAUUCAUUUACAUAAUAGUGAGAGACUUUCACCCUUGUGAGACCAUCCAUUAUCUCCUUGUUCCUCCAUGGAAGGAUUUCAAAUAGGUACAAUUAUAUGGAGGGCCAUUUAAUAAUUACAUGUCUAAAUGACCAAACUUAAAGGAAAUACACGUAUGCGGUGGCCAACACUAACUAAAGUCACUAAAUUAUAAACAUAUCUAGGUAUUACCAGUGACAUUAGGCUUCGUAGCUUCCUCCCACAGCAGAAGUACAAUGGUGAGUCUGUGAGACUGGUAUGUAAAUAGGAAACAUAUUAAUGCGAACUCUCCUUGAAACACUUUCAGCAUCACUAUAGCUUAUGCAGUGACAUUUUAAAGUUAUUUUCCCCGUCUGUCCCUUCCUAGUUAGCCACAUCAUGGCCACUGCCAAGGAGAGAAUGCACUGUCUGAUCCACAGCUUCAAAGAAGUUGGUGAGAUUCCUGUUAUAAAAUUGCAAAAGUUUAGAUAAUUCAUUCAAGCUUGGCUUUUUUUUCCCCCGUGCACUUUUCUAAAGAAAAUUUAAAGUGUCAAAAAUACAUAUCUUGUGCUCAUUAUUAAAUGCUAAAUACCACCGUGUUUUGAGCUGCCUCGUGGCCAUUAGAAAGGAAACAGGUGUUCUGAUAGAUUAUAAAGUGUGAGUCAGAUGAUGUGCAGGACAGAAUUUUAAUGAAGCUGCUCACACGGAACUCUGACUGGCCUCUUGAAUGUGCUGCUUAAGCCCUGAAAGUAGUCUUCAAGACAAAAAUCACAGGGAUACAACUCAGGAAGCACUCAUUAAUAAUCAACAAGUAAAUGGGAUGCGGAAAAUCAUUAUAUUGAGAUGCCUUUGCAUUUCAAUGCAAUUUAAUACAGCAUCAGCCUCAGGAGAAGGUGGGUAUCAUUUGAAAGGAUGUCCAAGUCUUUGUAUGUAUGCAAAUAUAGGAAUAGUUCCUUCUAAUUGCCACAAUAAGUUCUCAGUGAAGACCAUGCUCAAAGCUAGGAUUCUAGGUGUAGCAUUUUAUGAGAGAUGGGGGGUAGCUUUGAGGUGUGGCAUCAAAGAACCAUUAUCGAUCACUUUCAUUAGGACUAUACCUAAAGAUCUGUAAAGAAUCAAAUUCUCUAUCUUUUCUCAUUAAAAUGUCUUAAAAUGAUAUAUACAUGAUAUUCAUUUAGAGUUUUGGAUGUGUGCUCACAUUUCAAAAGUAAGCUCUACAAUAUAAAUAUCAAAUCUCUUUCCAUUCCAGGAAGCAGAGACUACCCCUAAGUUACCAGGUAUUUUUCAUGAACAAUCAGAAAUUUUGCCAUGUGUUCAGUUAUAGGCCUUCCCCUUUGAGAUGCUGGUUAUUCUAAGUGGCCAGAUCUCAAGGUAGGAAGGAAUCUUUCUAAGAUUAAAGACGGUAUCUAUACUGUGGGUCCCAGAGUCUCUAAGUCAUCAUCCUACCCAGUCCCAGGUCCUCCAUGUUCCUUGUCAUGGAGGCUUAGUAGAGAAGGUUCACCACUCUCUAAAAGGAUACAGAAGUCAGAUAUUUUCCGUUUAGGGAGUCUUCUGACUGCUUUCUUCUGGGUCUACUCACAUCACUCUGUCUGAGCUCCCUGACUCUUACCUUAAUAUCUCUUAUUAAAGCUGCUCCUUGGGUUUUUAAAAGGAUGCUUUCUUCUUCCCUUUAAGACCCCAUAUUGCCAUAAUGUACUGUACAUCUGAAUACUUUCCUACUUCAAGUUCUUAUCAUGGUUCCUGUGGUCAAUGCCUCGCUCUCCUAAUAAAAUGCAUUCCUGAAAGGUAAGUAUGUUUCAGCAUCCUUUCCCAAGCAACCAAAUCCACUUGGAAAUGUUUGUCUUUAUUCAGUAUUUAGUGUUUUCUGCAGAAAUCUGGAUCACAAUCAAUUAUUAUAAUCUCUUUCUGGCACCACUUUUUUAAAAAAUUUAAUGUGUAUGGGUAUUUUGGCUGCAUGUCACCACAUAUAUGUCUAGUGCCCAUGGGUGCUAGGGAAGGGCAUAGGAUCCUCUGAAACUGGAGUUACAGAUUGUUGUGAACUGUCAUAUGGGUACUAAGAGUGGAACCAAGGCCCCCUAGAAAACAAACUAGUGUCCUUAACUGCUGAAAGAUCAGAGGUACUCCCUAUAGAGAGAGUUUUAUUUGUACCAAGAAUGUAAGGACACAGAUAUUUUUGGGACACUCUUGGCAUUGCAAUUCAAUCAUUAUCAAUAUACAAUUCUGGAGAAAAAUGUGUCUCAAGGCUACUACUGUAGCUAUUUUACAACAAAAAAUUACUAAACAGUUCAUCAAAUGAGCAACAUUUUCAAAUGAAUAAAAUUCCCUUUGGCCAAAUGAAUGUAAUUAAUAAAAAUGGAAAUUUACUUAUUUUUAUUUGUCCCAAGUACUUGUAGAAUAGACCAAAUAUUGGCCUAUGACUGACUUAUCUAUCUUUUUCUAAUUCUUUAUCCAGAGCAAGACUCUGAAAUCUUCCUUUUUGGUAUCUGCAUGGUAUAAUACUUUGUCUCCAGAGCCAAUAAGAUGAUUCCAUAAAGAACUGCUUGUAUGAAGGCAUGAUCAGUCAAAGCAAGAUACACACUUCUGAAAAUAAAUAGUAAUACGAAUACAUAGUGUCUCUACAAAAUGUGUCCUAAGUUAUGCCUCUUGAUUUAAAAAUCAUAUAAGAUCUUUGAAUAAUUAGUACUAUAUAAAACCUAUCCAUUUUUCUGAUACAAAUAUUUAGUUUUGCAUUCCUUAUGCUGCAAUGAUCCCAGGUCAUUCUACCAGCAAUGUAUACUCUGAGGACGCUAGAAGCAAAUGUCAUUGCUGUUCCAGAUCUGCUUGUGUGCAAGUAGUCUGCAAAUCUAGCUAUGUUUAAGUUUCAUGCUUAGAUGCACUUUGCCAAUGACAUUAUCUACCAGAUUUUAAAGGAACACUGUUUCUUGUGGACAGGAGCCAAAACAACUUUUCUCUCAUUCUUCUAUUUACCUUUCCGUUGCUGCUGGCUCAGAGAAUUCUCCUUACUAUCACUCAGACAUCCUUCAUGUUUCUAUCUCAGCACAUACUGUCCUAUUUGUAGGCACUGCACUUACUCUGGCUCCAUGCUGACGUCAGUUCAACCUGUCAGUCCUUGGAGUCAUGUGGCAAAUCUAAGGAUGUUUCUGCCGUUUCCAAAGACUUCUCUCAUUCCUCUCAACCUUGCACCAGCUUUCCUAAUAACUACUUGUCAGUUCUUAUUCUUAAUUAUCACCAUUGUCUGGCUUACAGAAAUACUGCAUUUCUCACCAUAUUCCAAACCUGGAAGCACCUCUGGGUAUUUCUUAGUAUCAUACCUGUGACAGAUACUUCUAGAAGUUCCUCAGAACUUAGUGUGUCCACAGGAAGUUUUUCAGGAAGCCAGUAGAUUCUGUCCUUUAUCUAUAAAAGGGCUGGCUCAUUUGAAGAGGAAAAGGAUGAUGGCUUUCUACGUUUGGGAGUUGUACACUGAUAUCCAAGGGAAAUUUUGGAUGGAUACAGGAGAGACUGGGGAUGAGAACAUUCUGAUGGGGUGUGCAAGGUCAUGUGACCAUUGGGCUUGAGAGAGAAGUGUUUUGAACUCUGUUUUCAAGGGAGAUACAUAUACAUUUCUUUUCUACACUGUAGAGUAAUGGUACUAUGGUCAUUUAAAGGAGAGGCUAACAAAACACAAGAACUUUAUCUGUGUUCCUACCCAAAGGAUGCUAGUUCUGAUUCAACCACAGCGAUACCCAGGAGAGUGGGGUCUUAGUCAGCAGGAUGAUGAACACAGCCAAAUCAACACAACAGCUAACAAUAGGAUGUCAGUGAAGGAUAAACUGCUUUUCCUCCCAGAGAUGUGGCUCCUGAAUGUCUAUGGUGUGGUAUUUUGAGAAACAAGAAAGCCUCUGCGGAAUGACUGAGGAGGAUCAGAGGACAUCACUGACUUCCCCAGCUAAGUAUAAGAGCUGAUAAAGAACAGACCCAGUCCAGCCUGCCAUGCCCACUUGCUCUAAUGUAGCCAUUCUAGAAGCUUUCAUCACUGGCAUGUCUACCAAAGCUAGGGCAUAACAUGCCAGAACAAACACUUAAAAACCUAAGUACUGAGGCUAUGCAGAUGAUAUGCAUAUUCAAAUGGCUCAUAGGCAAUUACAUGUUUAUCAUAAUCCUAAACUGGGUUUCUAAUGCCCUAAUUUAAACCUAUAUUUGCUGUUACCUUCCUUUUACUGAAUCUGAUACUAUUAUUGAAAAGGUAUUCUGUAUUUUAUUGCCUCUAAACAUAUCUUAAGUAAAACACAUUUUAAUGGUCAAGUAAGUAAAUGCAGGCAUGGCUAAAAGAGGCCUUUUCAAACCCCACCCCCACCCCGAGUCCUUGGGUCAUAUAAGUGACACGCUACUAAGGAAGACAAAAGAGACCUCGAAGUAAACCGUUAUUCUUUGCUUUCUAUCAAAUUAAAUUAAACCCAACAAAUGGCCAGAACCUCAGUGGAAUGAGUUACAGAUUGUAUCUCAUGCCUAUGAAAAAUGAGACUUCAGGGAAACCUUUGUGUUUCAACUCCUCCACAGUAAAAUCGUAUCUUCAAACCAGUCACACCUAGUCCCAUUUUCUUGCAAAAUCCAAUCCUCUACCACAUCUUUAUUCGUGUACUAAUCAAUUAUCAUUUAAGGGCACUGACAACCAGAACCGCCCUGCGACUGCUCUUAUCAUCCUUGCCUCACCAGAAGAUAGAAUACUGCAAGGUAGCCAUUUAAAAAUUAUAAAAGAGGGAAAAACACAAGAAAACUACUUCAUAAAAACAGACACCAUAAAGGUUGAGACACGGAGAAAAAAAAUUAAAUUGCCUUCACUGGGGGAUCCAUUCUGACAUCUGUGCCACUUGAGGGUAAUGGGUAAGCCAUAUUUUAAAAAUAAUUUUUUAACAAAUCUCAGCUAGAUUCAGAUCUUAAGAGAUGUAGUUAGGAAGCUAAAUAUAUUGCCAAAGAAAGAUGAGGGAAAAAGAAAAAGACUCUGCUCUGUUCUUCUUAUUUAGAAGACCAAGGAACACCUAUGAUGAAUUUUGUUCUGGCCAAUGAGGAUGUGGUGGCCUGAGUGUAGGGAUUAUAAUCUACAGAAUGUGAAAUAAAUGUGAUGGCUAUUACACACUGUCUUAGCCCUUAACAUCCUCUGUGAGAAUGUCUGCGUAAAAUGAACUCUUCUGACACACCGCUGAUCACACACCUUAUGGGAAACAUUAUUCAAAGUACCUAUAAAGGCUGACAAUGACUUCCAGAAUGGCUCCUAUGAACUUCUGCCUCAACUGAGAAAAUCUGCAGCAAUCUCACACCUCAUAUGAAAAGACAGAAAUGAAGGUGUCCCUUCUCACUUAAUAACCUUGAUCCUCACCUUAGUGGAACUGACUAAAUGUGUGGCUGGAACUCUCAGGCCAGUGUGCCCCAAUGGAGAACGUUUAAUGCUCAUGGUAGGCAUCACUAAUUGAUUACUACUCAUGUUUUACCUAGCCCAUACUUAAUGCUCAUGCACAGCCUACUCCACAUACACAUCAGCUAUGACUUAUGAAUGGUAGCUUGCAAUUACAAUUCUUGUCUCUUUUCCUCUUCAGAGAGGGGAGAAUUAAGAGUCAACAAGGAGAAGUUAAUUUCUGACCGCUGCAAAGAUAGUUAAUGGCCAUACUGGCUGCUACAUUCACUACAAAUUUCUCUGUGACCUUUUGAUUUCUAAUCUGCUGCAGGAAUUGGUAGGAAAGAAGCUUUAAGCCUGAUUAGUGAUGGGAGGAAGACUCUGGACUAGGGAGGAGAAAGAAGAAAGCAUUAGUGCGAAGUUAUUCCUGGCCCCACCCUUCCACUUUCACCUAAUGGCCUAACUCAUCUUUUACACCCUUACUACAUUUUUUACUCUCUGGACUAUUCUGAGAACUAAGCAAUCACUUCUAUGCUGACUUUCAAGUCUUUCAUUUGUUUCCUUGGAGAACCAUCAAGGUUGAUUUGUGCAGGCUUUAUUUCUGGUUUACCAGGUUAUGUGUUAUUUAAGGACAGUGUGCUUCUUUUCUUACCAUUGCAUGGAUGCUAAUUCUUCAUCAAGGUACUUUUCUCAUUAGCUAUAUAAAAAUAGUGGGACAAAUGGUAUAGAAGAAACCAUAGCAGGUAGUGAAGACACUAUGACUGGUUUGAUGUCAUAUUCAAACAAGAUCUUAAGUCCUUCUCUCAAGAUACGUUCUAAUAUCCCACAGCACACUUUCUUGGUAUUAAUCUCUUCACACGAGAGAACUGAUAAAAAUAUGAUUUCAUUAUUGCCACUGGAGAACAGGAUGGAGAUGAGGGUUACAAAUGUAUGUAGCAAAAGGCUGGGAGUAUAGUUCUUGCUACCUAGACAAUGUGAAUCUAAUUGUAGGUGGAUUUCCCCAGUACAAACCCAAACCAAGAUGGAACAAAACUAAAGUCAGUUUAGAUGCCAGCAUCUUUUCUUCCCUUCCUCACAAAAUUAUUGAGAAGGUUUAUGAUAUGAAGCACAAAUUCUGGUUCUCUCUAUCUAUUUUCUUUCUCAUUCAAAGUGUUCUUUGAGGAGUGAUGGUGCUUUUAUAGAGAAUAAGGUGAGUUUUACAAAUAGUUAAUGGCAGCUUGCUUGCUUUGAUAUACCUUAAAAAUUGACUAGCUACAGAGUAAUAUGCCACAGGGAUGGUCAUAGAUGCCAUAUUAUUUCAAGGAAAUUCAUAUUAGUGGGAGCAAGGAAAAGUGUUUCUAAGAGAUGAGCCUGUACUGUUACAUGAGAAAGAACAAGUAUAACUUUGAAAAUUUUAAGAUGAAUUUGCACACGUGUGUGUGUGUUUGUGUGUGUGUUGUGCAGUAUAUAUAUAUGUAUAUAUAAUAUAUAAAAUAUAUACAUAAUAUAUAUUAAUAAUAUAUAUAAUGUGUAUACACGCAUAUGUGUAUAUAUAAAUAUAAAUAUAUAAAAAUAUAUAUACAUAAUAUAUAUUAAUAAUAUAUAAUGUGUAUACACACAUAUAUAAUAAAUACAUACAUAAUAUAUAUUAGUAAUAUAUAUAACGUGUAUAUACACAUAAUAUAUAUAAUGUAUAUACACACAUAUGUGUGUAUAUAUAUAUAAAUAUAAAUAUAUAUAUAUAUAACUGAAACAUAAAUUUCAAGCUAAGGAAAUGCAUUUUGCGUUUAAAAAUAAGCAUCACUUAAACUAAACAAGACACAUAUUUGUUGAGAGCUAGUUUGUGCUGGGCAGUACUGCAGAGGCAAACCAAUGGAGCCUACUGAACUACUUUAGAAAAUUUAGCAAAUAGCACAGUACCUGUGGGAAGACAGGUGGAUAUGAUGGAAGCUAAUAUCAUCCUCCUUCACCAUCAGUUUUUGUUUCAAGUUUGACUAUUACAUACUGCUUCCCCAGUUUACUCUUACAAGCAAAAUGGGGGGGGGGGCCUUGGGAGUCAAACCUACCUGGGUCCAAAUCCUUGCUCUGCCACCCAACAGCUUUGAGACUAUGCAAGGCUACUAGACGUCACCAAGUCUAGAAUGAAGUCAUAGGUAGUGAGAAUAUCUUCAUUUAAUAGCCUCAUUGUUUCAAAUUCUGUACAGUAAUGCCUGCAUAAGGCUUAGUGUGGUUCCUGGCACAGGAUAAGUGCCUAAUAGAUGUCUCCCUUACUACUGUUAUCACUAACAGUAAUGACCUCUGCUAGAAAAGUCAAAUAUCUUUAAUUACCCAUUAAAUUUCAAAUUAUUAGAUUCUCCUGUGUGUAAUUGUUACAAAUCAAAAUAUCACACGUGGGAUAAGAAAUACAAUCCCAUGAAAGAAUUGGCCCACAGUAAAUGCUUUAAUUAAGUGCUAAUUAAAGGUACCUACCUUAAAACUUGUGCUUAAAGUACACCUGUAGAGCAAGUGCAGUUUUUCAAGUUAAUCCUGUCACUCUGACAUUUCGAAUGUCCUCAAUUACUCCAAGUAAAGGAAAACAAUCUCUAAAUAAAUCUCCCAUGUGAAGAAACAGAUUUGCCGGCGACUCAAGGGGGAAUGAAGCACUAUUCUCACUACAAUUAGGAUUUUUAAUAUACAUACUUUAAGGACAAUUAGUCUACAGUCAAUGGCUAUUACAGGAUCUGACAGUUGCGAGCAAUCUCCCGAGGUGGUGAAAACAGAGGAGAAAGAUGACCUUUAUUUGGCAGAAUGGAAAGCAAAACUCCCUGAACAUGAAAAGAAAUGUCACGUAUUAGGGAAAAUCUCACACUUGUGGCACUAAGGCAUAUACAUAAAUUUGCGAGACAGAGAGAAUCACACAACUACGGUUUGUUUGGUAAAGUGGACAAAACAAAGGGAAGCAGCCACUAACACUUUUUACUUUAAUUUAUGACAGUCCGUAAUUAUGGCCUGUUUCUUGUUCACAAUGACAGCUUACAGUGUGUGUCUCCUAAUGGUUUGAGAUGGUAACACAAAGAGUAGAUGCCCCACUCUUUCUCCCUGUCUCUAUCUUUUUUUUUCUUCCUUCUCCUUUCAAAGACUGACUGUGUGGAGACAUUAAGAUGUGGUUCAUAAUUUAAUUGAGCUGAGGUUUACACUCAUAACUAAACAAUAAAGUUAAAGUAAUGAGUUUCAAUCACAGGACUGUAGCACAUGGUUUAAUUUACAUAGAUAAUUAAAAUCACCACCCCUACUGUCCUUCUUUUGUACUUGAAACUGUACUAGCAAGAUAGCUAGAUAUUACCAGUACCCCCUUUCCAUUAAAGGGAAAUGAAGGACCCACAAAGGGAGUGGGGAGCCAUUUUAAUCUAAUUCACCAACCUCUUCUCAAAAGUAAAACUGCUUAAAAUGAAAUGCAUUUAGGCCAAUUGUUUUUUAACUUUCAAGUGAAAAUUAUCUGUAUAAUUAAGGGAAGUUUAACACACUGGCUAGGUUCUUGCUACAGUAGAAAAGUUUCACAUCUGCCUAUACUUUCCCCAAGUGCCCUGCAGGAAUUCCUUAGUCAGCUUGUCUUGAGUAUCAUUAUCUGCUGAGUCACAGGCUCCUGCUGUGGGCAGUAAUUUCUCAUUCCACUAAUCACUCACAGGCUAUUAUUUAACUGCCAGAGUCCCAUAGUGGAGUGACAAGUUCUAAUUUUAUAGCUGAAGGACAAAGAAAGUCUACAGAGGAAUAAUCUCUAUGGAUUUCAUUUUAAAACGAAACAUCCACGUGGAUUCUCGCAUCACACUUGCGGUAGUUGUUAUUACCCAUAAACCUCUUUAGACAUCCAGCUACAGCAACCUGCUGAUUGUUUUGGUUUUCCACUAGCUUUCCGUGAGCUUUGCAACGAAAGUUCUGGCAAAGCAACGUGAUACCGUUUGACAGAAUUGAAGGGGAAGCCAUUAUUGCUGAUGACACUAAUGCCACCAUUUGCACAAUGUCACUUGGGCCAAGCCAGAGAUGGGAUGACUACAUUCAUUCUGAACUGUGGGUCUACAGUUCCUGACAGGCGUUUCACGGUCCUGCCUUAGUGUAUGUCCUAUAUUUUAGAGAGGUUGAGAAUUUCUGUAAGUGAUGCAUGCUGUGCUGUAUAUAGUACAGGUAUCUUUGCUAGAUGACAUUGCAACUUUAACAUUUUAUUCAAUAAUUACACCAUGACAGUAUUAAAACCCCAGUCAAGACUGACAAACCUUGUUGUCAUGGGGAGUGAUGCAGAGUUUGGAUCCACAGCCCACACCUACUGAGCUGCUUACGCUGACAAAUUAAACAACUAAAAUCAUUUGUGAGUAAUGUUGCUUACGUUGGUUCUGGUGAAAAAUUCUUUUGAUUUUCUGACAGAGAGUUGCUAUUCUAUUUGUCUGAAAUCAAGAGAUAUUUAGCAAGAUUACAAAUAGCAUGAGGAUUACUAAUAGGUGCAUGCUUGCACUUUGAGAUAAUAUAUGCGAAUCUACUUCAAUUACAAAAUAUUCUCCUGACAGCUUUUGGUUUUUUUACUCUAACAAUAUGGAACAAUAAUUAACUGAUAUGUUAUAGUAGAAAGUUGCUUAAUUCUGAUAGUUAAAUAUGUGAAGAAAGAUUUAUAAGUUACUAAUAAACUAAUCUGUUUUUUAAAAAUUAAUUUUUAAACUAAUUAAAAAAUAUUAGGUGUGUUUAAACAGUGAGUUUAAGAUGUUGGAUAAUUUUUCAUCCCAGAAACUUGUGUCCAGAAAUAUCUUCAAACACUAUAACACAUUUGGUACUAUUUAUGAAUAUAUAAAAAUCAUUUAUAUUCUGUAAUGAGAAAUUAAGAAUUCAAUGAAGUGAUGUGAAGUGGCUAAACGGAUGGUUUUAAAGACUUCUUCUGUUUUUCUACUCUCGCUUACAUUAAUGAUGGGAUUUGGACUCCAGAAAAUGGAAGAGAAGGCAGGCAACCCUUAAGCAUCAUCAUACCAAAUGAAUUCCAUCACUGCAAAUGUGACUGGAUUGCUCAGUCUUAUUUACUAAGAGUAGUUUUACAUAUAACUUCAGAUAUCAGUGUAUUGGUAACAGCAAAAUACCAAGUUACUUUCCUUCACUGAUUGGCACUGACCUGUGGUCCAGGUGUUUUUGUUUCCAGCCUGAACUAAAAAACUAAGCUUCACAGUUAGGUGUAGUUAGAUCAAUCCUUUCUAAAUUAUGUACAGUGCGGGCAUCCCAGAAGAAUCAUAAAGAUGUUCACAAAUAGGGAGAAAGAGUGAGUGCAACUGCGUACAUUCACUAGCUCAGCUAUCAUUAUUCUGACCAUAUGCUAAUAACCCAGUCAGUUUCCUGGAGUCUAAAAAUCUCUCCUAGAGCAUCUAAGAAGAACACCACACACUAGCAAUAAGAACACAGGAUGGAACCACUACUGUAUACCAAAGAAUUCAUGUCCUCAACCAGCCACUCUGGUAUUGUCAUUUCUGUCUGACACGAAUGCCUCUUUUCACUUUUCCCAUGAAUAAGUGCCCCUCAGAAGUCUGCAGCCUGAUUUUAACCAUCAGUUCCCUAUAAGAAAUUAUUUUUUGUCCAAGAUCUAACUUUUCUUACCACCUCCUUCAUUAUCCCUCACAGAAUCUGUGAAAACAAGUCAUUUCAAAGCUUUCCGGGGUCUGAACUUUCUGUCUGCCUCCUUCAUGUUUCUGAUGGGGGUUGAUACAUUUAUUUAGGAAAUGCAGAGUUUUUGGUAUGGAUGAAUAAUGAAUAAAUGAAAGCUCAGUUCAUGUCACACCCAUGUCAUACGUGUCUUAGGACAUGUCUAGAUUAUAUUUACAUGAACUUUUUUUUCUAACAACAUAUUUACUCUACACUUUAAAUGGCCUCCCUCUCUGUUAGCUUUUGCAUGAGGGCUGACCGACAAAGCAAUGUUUUUCCUUGUUCCCACUAUUUUUUUUCUCUAUAUAUUUUUUUGAAAUACCUAGUUUUCAACAGUAAAUUUGCAAAGAACUAAGUAGUAGUUUAUACCAUCACACAUUCUCUGCUCUUGUGUGAAGCCUCACAAAAUGAUAUAAAUGGAAGAAUAAUCAUGGAUAUUAUAAACAUGUUUUGCAUUUGAGUAAUUUGCACAUGUUAAAGAUUUGAUGUAACUAAUAAUUCAUCAGCCUUUUCCACAUGCAAAGCAAGAAAAUGAUAGCAUCAGUUUGAAUAUCAGACACAAUGAUGGCAGGGCAGCAUUCAAUCAUCCAUGCUAAUGGAACAGAUACAAUCAUCCCCACCAAUAAAGGAAGGCACAGCUCUUCUGGGCCUCUGGUUUGUUCUUUCCUUUAGAAAUGGAAGAACCCAGAAGUUCUAAUUUAAAAAAAUGUGGAAAUAUGAAAAUGCCACUUCUCUUUUUGUCUCUGACUGGCUCUUUCCAUUGUGGUCUCUUAAAAGAAUAUGAGGAACGUCCUUCAGAGAAAAGGGAAAAAAAGGUAAAGGGGGUGGGAAGAGGAAGGAAAAGCAAGUUUGGACCGUCGGAGUGGAAGGAUCAUGUGCUCUAGGUCAACCUCUGCAUCUCAGGGAGACUCUGGAAGCUUAAAAAAGAAAAAUAAAGGGCUAGAAAUUAUGCUGCAUUUUAGGACACCUGCCACCCAUGUGUACAGCUCUGGGUUCAAUAUCUACAGCAAAAAAAAGAAAAAAAAAUUAAAAAUCACAGAGACCUCACCAGAGAUAAUAAUGUAUAGAUAUUAUCAAUACACCCUGAGACAUCCCAUGAGGAAUUUUCUUUUGGAAGACAUUUUAUACCACGUAGCAGAGAGUUUCAAGUAGCAGGAAACAUGGCUACAUUUAUUCUGGAUUAUGCCCAACAACUAGAGACAGGUCUAAUCUCCAUAUUAUCCAGAGGCAGUAAUAAGGUUCCCCAAAGCAGCCAGAAUUUUACGUAUACACCCCUGUCUGCAGAAUUGCUCAGUGUUUCCUACUCGUCCAUCUCCAAGUGGUUAAAGCAAUAUUUCUUCCCAUGAGAUGCGUGUAAUUUUUCAUUAUAUGGUUUCAAAUCAAGCUCUCGUCUUAGAAAACAGAAACAGAAAAUCAACAUCGGGAAGUAUUAUAGAUUUUGCAUGUCUAAAUAGCUGUGAUGAAUUAGUCACAGUUACAAUGAACUGUAGGAAAAAUCUACAGGCAAUAUAUUGCUUUUGCAAUUUUUAUAUUAAAGUAAAAGAAAACCCUCAAGUAAUAUUAUAUAAUAAAUUAUUGUAACAUUGGUUGGCGGUAAAAGUAAUUUAAAUAAGAUUAAUUUAACAACCUUUAAAUAUCAAUAAGUAAUAAAUAUCUUCAUGCAUGGGGGUCCACAUUUCACUUUAUUUAGAAAUAAUGAAUAAUGCCAGUGCCUAAUAUAAUCCUAAUAACAGAAUAGGAACCCUCUGCACUUUAAUAAUUUCCAUUAGAAGAAAUCAAGUGCCUCUUCCAUUUGACAGAAGCUGCAUCUGGUCUGUAUUAGGAAGCAAAUGUGCAGAGGUUUCCAGGUUAACUUGGCAAAGGAAAAACAAAAGAAGCUCAAGGAAACCGCGCAGGCAGGCACAUGAUGCAACCAGAUUCAGGCCCUUGCUUUUGCAUUGGACACUUCUGAAACCUGAAGGCAUGUGCUGCCGAGAUCCAGAUAUAAGCUGCUUUGGAUGGUGAGGUUCAGGUGCCCCUGGCCACUUAUUUAGUAGUAUUUAUUUUCAACAUGCACAAUAGGAAGGAUAUUAGUCUCCUAUUGUUGUCGCAACCCUUAAGGUGCCACCUCAAUUCUUAUCAUCUUCCUCUUUCUUCUCUCACACCUCCCCUCACACCUCUUUAAAGGCCCAGUUCCCACCGAGGUACUGUCUGGGUGCAGAAUUUGUCGUGUAAGAAAAAGAAAGCCUCAAAAUUGUAUGUGUUGCAUAUUCCUAAUGACCUUUCAUUCAAUGCUUUCAUUUUUAAUAAAAAUUUAUAAUAAUUGCACUGAUUUUGUAUUAUGUGGCAUAAAGUGGGUGGGGUUUUUUGUCUUUUUUAAUUAAAAUUUUUUUUGACAUAGGAUUUCAACAUGAAGGUGAGAAAGACCCGAGACUCACACUCUUCCUUCCACAGACUCUUUAGUGCUGGGAUUGUAGGUAGGCCGGAAGGGAUCUUUUUAAUUUUUAGCUGCGUAUUAUACUUCUAAAUGUCUCACAGUAAAAGAGAUUACUUUGAUUUGUAAUAGGCAACAACACAUUACCCACCCCACCCCACCCCCAAAUAUAUUCUUACUCUUCACUCUACCUAGAAAGAGAGAAAGGAAAGAAAAUUUAGUUAGGAAAGUUGAUGCAGGGAGAUCGGAAGUUCAAGGUCCACCCUAAGAAAUUCAUGAAGAAAACAUUCUUGUGCAUCUUACAUAAGUGACCUGCACUGAGCAAAGUAGUGGGUGUUACAUAAUUCAGGCACUAAGGAUUAAAGGAGUGUGAGAGGAGGGUAAGCUGGGCGUGAGUCAGUGGUCAGCACUACAGUGGGGCAUCUGUUCAGAAGAGCGCAAAAGUGAGAGCCAUAACCAUGGAGAGCCAAACUGAAACACAGAGACCAAACAGGUGCAGGAACUAACUCUUGGCAAGCUGAGUUUGAGGUCGAACCUGAAAAAGAGGCUUCAGAAACAACGAGGGAUGGUUGCUCGGCCCCAUGUACCAAGAAGGGUGAAGUGGACUUUAAAAAACAAUUUAGUUAAGCAAACCAACCAACCCCAAACAAAACACAACUCCAUUAAGGAAGAGAUUAUUUUGAUUUAUUUAAAUCUUGUGUACUAGAUAAAUGAUGUAUUGUUACAGUUGUCCUCAAAGGUAGUGUGCAAAACCUCUGGAGGUCUGUUAGAAAAUGGUUUUAAAGUCAAAAAAAAAAAAAAA
Mus musculus (house mouse) is the source of this 52859-nucleotide long non-coding RNA. RefSeq annotates it as predicted gene, 51889. The record is from RefSeq and is a predicted model, not a curated record. The transcript is spliced from 3 exons. NCBI's taxonomy places the organism in Eukaryota, Metazoa, Chordata, Mammalia, Rodentia, Muridae.